Loxodonta africana (African savanna elephant) is the source of this 66725-nucleotide long non-coding RNA. RefSeq lists it as uncharacterized. The record is from RefSeq and is a predicted model, not a curated record. Lineage: Eukaryota; Metazoa; Chordata; Mammalia; Proboscidea; Elephantidae. The transcript is spliced from 13 exons.
ACCACAAAAGUAUGUGUUCUUCUCAGUUUUUACUAUUUCUCAAGAUCUUAUAAUAGUGGUCUUAUACAAUAUUUGUCCUUUUGCUUCUGACUAAUUUCGCUCAGCAUAAUACCUUCCAGGUUCCUCCAUGUUAUGAAAUGUUUCACAGAUUCGUCACUGUUCUUUAUCGAUGCGUAGUAUUCCAUUGUGUGAAUAUACCACAAUUUAUCUAACCAUUCAUCCGUUGCUGGACACCUUGGUUGCUUCCAGCUUUUUGCUAUUGUAAACAGAGCUGCAAUAAACAUGGGUGUGCAUAUAUCUGUUUGUGUGAAGGCUCUUGUAUCUCUAGGGUAUAUUCCGAGGAGUGGGAUUUCUGGGUUGUAUGGUAGUUCUAUUUCUAACUGUUUAAGAUAACACCAGAUAGAUUUCCAAAGUGGUUGUACCAUUUUACAUUCCCACCAGCAGUGUAUAAGAGUUCCAAUUUCUCCACAGCCUCUCCAACAUUUAUUAUUUUGUGUUUUUUGGAUUAAUGCCAGCCUUGUUGGAGUGAGAUGGAAUCUCAUCGUAGUUUUAAUCUGCAUUUCUCUAAUGGCUAAUGAUCGAGAGCAUUUUCUCAUGUAUCUGUUAGCUGCUUGAAUAUCUUCUUUAGUGAAGUGUGUGUUCAUUUCCUUUGCCCACUUCUUGAUUGGGUUGUUUGUCUUUUUGUGGUUGAGUUUUGACAGAAUUCAUGUAGAUUUUAGAGAUCAGGCGCUGGUCGGAGAUGUCAUAGCUGAAAAUUCUUUCCCAGUGAGCCCAACUCUUGAUGACCUCAUGUGUAUCAGAGUAGAACUGUGUUCCACAGAGUUUUCAAUGGCUGAUUUUUUAGCAGUAAAUCACCAGGCCUUUCUUCUGAGGUGCCUUUGGGUGAACUCAAACCUCCAACCUUCCGGUUAGCAGCCAGGCACAUUGUUUGCCCCCAAUCAAAGACUCUACCUGGCACACAGGUAAUGUUUAAAAAUGUUAGCUGGUGUCAUGAAUUGAAUUGUGUCCCCUCAAAAUAUGUAUAUCGAUUUGGCUAGGCCACAAUUCCCAGUAUCGUGUGAUUUUCCACCAUAUUGUCAUCUGAUGUGAUUUUCCUAUGUGUUGUAAAUCCUACCACUAUGACGUAAUGAAAUGGAUUAGUGGCAGUUAUAUUGAUGAGAUCUAGAAGAUUAGAGACAUGGCGACCUCAUACCACCAGGAACUCAGUGACGGAAGCAGAGCCUGUCCUUUGGACCUGAGGUUCCUGUGCUGAGAUGCUCCCAGACCAAGGGAAAGCUGAUUCAUCACAAGGACCUUCCUCCAAUGCCCACAGAGAGAAAAAACCUUCCCCUGGAGCCAGCACCCUGAAUUCAGACUUCUAGCCUACUAGACUGUGAGAGAAUAAGUUUCUCUUUGUUAAAGCCAUCCACUUGUGGUAUUUCUGUUACAGCAGCACUAGAUGACUAAGAGAGCUGUUAUCUUCUUGAUAUCUAUCAUCUUUACCAUCAUCAUCAUCAGCUGUGAAUUUUUUUCUUCUCACUCUGGAUUUUAGGAAUGACUCCGUCAGUGGCUUGAUCACAGAACUCAUGAGGCCAGAAACUUGAUUCUUGGGGCCAAACAGUCCUCUUUGGUAUGUGGGAGAAAUCAAGGCCCAGAUAAGGGCAGGGACUUGCUUAAGGCUUCCCAGCUAGCCAGUGGCAGAAAAAAUAGUUUCCUGAAGCAAAGUGAGAGGUGAUUAUCAGUCCCACUUGACCCUUCUAGCAAUGUGAAGUCAAAGGUCAGAAGCAGGGCCAGUGGGUGGGUGGGGCUGGCUUCCUAGCACUGUCUCACCCAGAUUCUGGGAAAACCAUAGCGUUACCUCUGGGAACACAGCAUAGGUGGGAUGGCCAGGUUUUCAAACCCAGACAUUCGGAUGUGCAGUCUGACUAGGGGCUUCUGUGAUACACCUGGGUGUGAGGCACAGUUUGGAGGGGUGCAGCUUAGAUUGGGCAGUAGUUGUAGACUUUCUGGCAUAUGUUUGGAUAGUUUAGGGACACAGGGGCAGGACAUCAGAGAAGUUGAGUGGUCCAGUGGAGGAAGACAGCAAGGACUCGGCAAUCACAUUUGGGUUCAAAUCCCAAUUCUUCCUCCAACUUCCUGUGGGAGCCCUGAGCCUCAGUUUCUUCACUGGAGAUGGGGUUGUUAUAAGGGUUAACUAAACUAGCAGCUGAGCAGCUAGAAAGUUGCUGGCCCAAAAUCUGUCUUAAUCAUAUUUAAAAAUUAGGAGAUUUCACCCACAAACCUAGAUUGCCUCUAUCACUUGAAAAAUCAGAAAUCUGAUCCAGCCGCUUGGAACUGCUUUCUCAAGUGGCCAAGCUGGGGCUCCCUGGUUCCCUGGAACUGGGUGGUAGAGCAUGUGCUCUUUGAUCUGUCAAUCCACCCAGUGCCUGCAGGCAGGUCAGAGGUCAGCUGGUAGAUCCCCAACAAGCUUGCCUCAGGCUUCUAAGGCGGCUGCGGCUGCCCCAGCUCUGUGAGGAGACAUCCCUGGAAAGGAAAAUUCCCCACCCCUGGAGAUGUUUGCUCAGGGCUGCUACAGGGUGAAUAUUUCCUUUCAUAACAUUACUAAUCAUUUUCCCAUCCGGACAGGAGCGGAGGGAGGCUCUCCCUAGCUCCACAUGGCUGCGGCGCCCUGUGGCCUCCUCAUCAAUGUCACACGGUAAUUAAUAAUAGAUCCCCCUGCUCCAGCAGCAUUGCUCCCAACUCUCCACCCCCUCUGACAAGCUGAUAAGGCCAAAAUCAAAGGCCUGAAAUUGGAGCCGAAAACUUUUCCUCCAAUGCCUUGUGUGAGAGAAUGAAGAGGGAUGGCAGCCCUGCCGGGGCCCACCACCCCCUGGAUGAUCAGCCCUGUUUCGGGGGUGGAUGGGAUGACAGGCUUGGGGAAGCCCGUUCAUUUGCAUCAUUGACUCUCACACCCCAGUGUGCCUCGCAGUGGGACUCUGUAGGUCUGCAGUAGGGCUCAGAAGAGCAACAUUUCUAAUAAGGUCCCAAGUGAUGCUGAUGCCGCUGAUCCAGGGACCACACUUUGAGAACAACUGAUUUAUAUAACUAGUAACUUACUUGGUGCCAGGCACUGAAAAUAUGGCAAUGAAUCAGGUGAAUGUAGCCUGUCGUGAAUUGAAUUGUGCCUCCCUAAAAUAUUUGUUAACUUGACUAGGUCAUGGUUCCCAGUAUUGCAUGAUUGUGUACUAUUUUGCCAUCUGAUGUGAUUUCCCUAUGUAUUGGAAAUCCUAUCGCUAUGAUGUAAUGAGAUGGAUUAGUGGCAGCUACACUGAUGAGAUCUGCAAGAUUAGAUAGUGUCUUAAGCCAAUCUCUUUUGAGAUACAAAAGAGAGAAGCGAGCAGAGAGACAUAGGGACCUCAUACCACCAAGAAAGCAGCGCCAGGAGCAGAGCGCAUCCUUUCGACCUGAGAUUCCUGUGCUGAGAUGCUCCCAGACCAAGGAAGACUGAUGACAAGGACCUUCCUCCAGAGCUGAUUGGGCGGGAGGGCUUUCCCCUGAGGCUGGCACCCUGAAUUCAGACUUCUGGCUUACUGGACUGUGAGAGAAUAAGCUUCUCUUUGUUGGAGCCAUCCACCGUUGUAGCAGCACUAGAUGACUAAGACCUAGCCCCUGCCCUCUCAUCUGAUGGAAUCAACCUGGGGCAUCACGUGACAGGUACAGAAGUAGACUCUAAAAUCUGUCAGGCCUGACUCCAGACCUGGCUGUGCUGGUUCUGCUCUCUGACCCCGGGCAGCGUGCCUGACUUCUUACAGCCUCUGUCUCUGCAGCUGUCUAAUGGGGAUAAUUAUGUUCCCCGCCUCAGAUAGUUGAUGUGACUGUUAAAAUAUGAAAAGGAACGUAAAAAGACAUGCUGAGGAAUGUUAGCUGUAACGACGCGUCAUUAAUAAUUACGCUAUUGUUGUAUCAUUGUCCGAGUCCGUGUAACUAGGUCCUAGGGGAGUUGAGAUGCAGGUAUUCAUUCAUCAAUUCGUUUGACAUAUAUGUCUUGAAAACCAAGUUUGUGCUCAGUGUUAGAAAUACAGCAGUGAACCCCAAAGCUAAAAUCCCUGCUUUGAUAGAGCACACAUUCUAGUCAAUAAGCAAAUAAUAUAUGUUCAGUUAGAGAGGUGAUAAACCAAAAUAAAUAAACAAAUAAAUAAAAACCAGUUGCCGUUGAGGAGAUUUUAGCUCAUGGCAACCCCAUAUGUCUCAGAGUAGAGCUGUGCUCCAUAUUUUCAAGGCUGUGAUUUUUGAAGGUAGAUCACCAGGCCUUUCUUCCGAGGUACCUUAAAAUCAAAAAGCAAACUAGUUGCUGUUGAGUCGAUUCCUACACAAAGCGAACCUGUAGGACAAAGUAGAACUGCCCCCAUAGGGUUUCCAAGGAACGACUGGUGGAUUUGUAUUUCAGCCAUUUUGGUUAGCAGCCGCAUUCUCAAUCACUUCCCCACCAGGACUCCUCCGAGGCACCCUUGAUGUGUACCUUUCAGUUAGUAUAGGGUCUUAGCCAUUUGUACCACCCAGGGACCAAGGCAGAUGAUGAGUGCUAUCAACAGAAACUAAGCAGGGGUGGAAUAGAUGUUGGGGUUGGAGUGGUGGGGGUGCUUUGCUAGGUGGGGGGGGAUCAUCCUAGGCCCCUCUGAUACAGUGACCUUAAAACAGAGAGCUGACUGGGCAGUUACAACGAGCCAGUGGGGUGUUCCGGGCAGAGGGCACAGCAAAUGCAAAGGCCAGGUGGGGACCAAGGCCUGCCUGGGAUUCACAUGAUAGCACCUGGAUGUCUCACACAUUGUGUCCAGGGGUUCCUGACACUAGUGCUUUGUGGGCUUUUGGCAGCUGGCAUCUUCCCUCUUCCUCUCGCUUCCCCCCCUCCACCAAGGACUGACUCUGAGCACCCCCAGAAGCACUUCGCCCUUGUAUGCCAGGGCUACCGGGCCAGGUUGCAAGCACCACUGGCUUUAGAGUUGGUUGCUCCCCCUGUGACCUUGCCCAGGUUACUCCCCUCUCUGCACUCCACUUGGCUCACCUGUCAAGUGGGGACGCAGCACUGGGUGGUGGUGAGGUCAUGAAGGCUGUGAAAAUGCUCUGCAUGCCAGAUGCUUAGUAGGUGCUCAGUGAAGGCUGCUCAUCACUAUGUUUCCUCUCGCUCCUCCCUUCCCCUCUCAGCGAGACCCAGGAAUCCAGGUGGGUGCUCAGACCCAGAAUCCUUGCUCCACUAGAGAGUAUAUUCAUUUGCAUAGAUUUGCAUAAGGCCUGGCAUGGUGUGUACCACUUCUUGCCUUUCAUUCCUGUGAGCUCACGUCACUGUUUAAAAAUAGGGUGUUGAUCUUCCCCUUUUUCUACCACUCCCUUUGCUUCUUGACAGAAUUUCAAGCUAUUAAUCAAAUGUGCCGGGUUUGGAAGCAGUUUUUAUUGUGGCCUCGUGCAGAAGGGGGACACCUUCUCUCAGCAGCACUUGAUGACCUGCUUUACUGGAGGGGAGAUGACCGCAAGGAGCUCACACAGGGGAGGGUCCUGGAAGCUUUCAAAAGGAAAGUCAAUUUUAUUUUUUCUGCUUAUAAAAGUAGUACAUAUAGACAGUGCAAAAAUGUGGAACAGCAGGGAAAAUCCCCCAAAAAGUUCCUGUGAUGACUCCAACCAGGCCCAAUUGCUCUUAACAUGUUAGCAUAAUCCUUUCCCAGUUUUUUUCCCCCUGAAAUUUUGUAUAAUUUAGGUCAUACCAUAUGUAUAUUUAUAAAAUGCAGAAGCUGGCUUUCUCAUAAGCAUAUUUUGAAUAUUCCCUGUGUAAUUACUAACUUUCUUAGCAUCGUUUUUCAUGGCCAUGUAAUAUUCCAUUUGAGCAGAGAGUUUCUUACCCCUUCUCCUGUAUUAGGACAUUUAGAUUUGUCUAUCUUUGUUUGGUUGUUUGCUGUAGUAUGUAUGGCUGUGAUGAAAAUGUUUAUCUUCCUGGAUUUUUCAUCCCAUAUUUUGGGUUAUUUUCUCAGGAGAGAUCCCACAAGUCUGACAACUGGGCUGGAAGGUGGAGAUAAGUUUAAGGCUGUAGAUAGAUUUUGCUGAACCCCAACCAGUACCUGGAUUUAAGAAUGUGGUUUUUUUGUUGACAUCACUACAAAAAGAAAAGAAAAAAAGCCAAACCCAUUGCCGUGGAGCUGAUUCGGACUCAUGGUGACUUUCUAGGACAGAGUAGAACCACCUCAAAGGGUUCCAAAGGCUGUAAAUCUUCACAGAAGUAGACUGCCACGUCUCUCUCCCACAGAGUAGCUGAUGGGUUUGAACCACUGACUUUUUGGUUAGCAGCCGAGUGGUUAACCACAACGCCAGGGCUACUUGACGUCACUAUAAGCCUCUGAAAUAAGUCUCAAAACAAUCCUGGGAUGCUCUGUGGUGGGAGUAGACGAGUCAUUGUCUCCCAUGGCUUGCUGCUCCAAGGCUCCUGGCAUCCUACUCCGUGCAGGGAACACUCAACCCUUCACCUUCACUGGGGUAGAGGCAAAGCUUGGGGAUGGUCUGCUUUCCCUCAAAUAUCCUUGGGCUAGAAUAUGUUUAACAAAGCAUCUGGGAGUCAAGGAAACUUGAGCUGUGUCUCUGAAACUGUGCCUCUGUGCUCUCACAAGUGCUAGUUUGCAAACAAAUGGCUUGGCUUUAUGUCAGUUAGAAAUGCCUUUGGCUUAAAUACGCAUUUUAUUUUUUUUAAGACAUCCAAGGAUAGCAGUCCAAGAUAUAUGCGGCUGUCCAACUACCAUCUAGGCCUCAGCCUCUAUCUUUCUCUUCUGCCAUCUCUGGCAAGGUGGCAUUUGUUUCUAUACUUAUUGCCUCAUGGUCCCAAGAUGGCUGCCAUACCUCCAGAUGUCAAACCCUCAUCCCAGGUAGAAAGAAGAAGGAAAAGUGAAGGGGCAAAGGGACAUGCCAGCCAAGUCUGUUCUUUAUAUCAAAGAGGUAAAAGCUUUCCUAGAAGCCCCACUGGGCAGAUUUUUGCUUGUAUUUCAUUAGCCAGAACCGAAUCAUAUGGCUAUUCCUAACCAAUCGUUAGUGAAGAGAAUAAGGUUACCAUGCCCUUUGGAACAAUCAAGAUUCACUCAGAGGGCUCAGGUAGAGGCCUAAUUCUCCUUGAGAUGAGCAAAUCACCAGUGCCACAGGAACAAAUCAGUUUCCUUAGCAGAAAAGAAUGGGGUGGGGGUGGGAUUACUAAUUAGGGAGAGGACAGUGUCUGCCAUAAGGUUUGUGAAAGAUGUAAUAAUUGCUUUCCAGGGGUGGGCUGUCAUUGGCUGAUACUCAUUCCUCUUGCCUGGUGAUUGGCUCAGCAAUGAGCACAUGGUCUAAAUAGGGCCAGGAAUUCUAGUCCAUAAUAGGGGGGAGAGAAGGCUCUUCCUCCUCGUGCAGUGAGGAAUUCGAAUGUGAUGCCUAGAACUACUGCAGCCGUUUUGUUCCCAUGAGACCAGCCUAACUAAGGAUGAAGCUGGCAUAUACACAAAGGAGAGGAUGGAGAGCUAAAAGAACCCCCAACAGAUGGAACAAAGGCCUUGAUUGAACCUUGAGGUCCACAACCUUGAGGUCCACAGGACUUCUAGACUUUGCAAUUACAAAAGCUAACAUACUGUCCUUGUACAAACCAGCUUGACUGAGUUUUUUGUUGUUGUUGCAACUAAAAGAAGAGUAACUGGGAGAAAUAUACACAAGGACUUCAAGAGAAAGGGUCGUGUGGUUAAAUACGUUUGAAGAACUGGAUUAAACAAUGUUUUGGCAAAAAAAAAAAAAAAUUUUUUUUUGCUUGACUUAAAUUAUGUUAUAUGCUGCUAUGUAAUGUGAGGCUUCAAGAGGGGAGAUCUCAUUUCGCAUUUCCAGAAUAUAUUGUCCCCUAAAUCCUUUGAUCAUGUGGCACCUUUUAGGGCUCUGUGGAAUAGAGUUUGGGAAUGCCACCAAGCCUAACCCCUACCCUCUAAACUUCAGGGUCUUUUUCUUUUUUAAUAUAAUAUUUUAUUGUGUUUUCGGUGAAAGUUUACACAGCAAAUUCAGUUCCCAAUUAACAAUUACUACACAAAUUGUUCAGAGACAUUGGCUACAUUUUUCACGUUGUGUUAACAUUUUCAUUAAUUCCCUUCUGGAUGUUUCGCUUCCAGUAAUCUGGUUUCCCUGUCCCCUUAUCUUUCAUCUUUGCUUUAGAGUAAUUGUUGACCAUUUGGUCUCAUAUAGAUGAUUUUUUUUUUUAAGGUGUGCAGUACUCACCGGCAAUGUUUUUAUUUUAUGAGCCAAUCUGUUAUUUUGCUAAAGGUGACCUCUGGGGGUAGUUUUGGUUCAGGAUUUAUUGCAGUAUUUCAGGGCGAUGGUCUCUGGGAAUCCUCUAGUCCCAACUGGUCCAGUAAGUCUGGACUUUUUAAGAACUUGAGUUCGGUCCAUGUCUUUCUCCCGUUCUAUCAGGAUCCAUCUAUUGUGGCCCUGAUCAGAACGGUUGUUAGUGGUAGCUGGGCACCUUCUUGUUCUUCUGGUCUGUCUUAGUUAUCUAUUCCUGCUAUAACAGAAAUGCCAUGAGUGGAUGGCUUUAACAAAGAGAAAUUUAUUCUCUCACAGUUUAGGAGGGUAGAAGUCUGAAUUCAGGGUGUCAGCUCCAGGGGAAGCCUUGCUCUCUCUGUUGGCUCUGGCGGAAAGUCCUUGUCAUCAAUCUUUCCCUGGUCUAGGAACUUCUCAGCGCAGGGACCCUGGGUUCAAAUGACAUGCGCUUCUGGCUCUACUUUCUUGGUGGUGUGAGAUCCUCUGUCUCUCUGCUUGCUUCUCUCUUUUAUGUCUUAAAGGAGAUUGACUAAAAACACAACCUAAUCUUGUAGAUUGAGUCCUGCCUCAUUAACAUAACUGCCUCUAAUCUUGCCUCAUUAAAAUCAUAGAGGUAGGAUUUACAACACAGAGGAAAACAUCAGAUGACACAAUACUGGGAAUGGUGGCCUAGCAAAGCUGACACAUAUUUUUGGAAGACAUAAUUCAAUCUAUAACAUUCUACCCUUUGCCCCCCCAAUUCAUGUCCUUGCCACGUGUAAAACACAAUCACCCCAUCAUAUCAUAGCAAAAGUCUUAAAUCAUCUCCAAGUUCAAAAUCUCAUCCUCUGCAAAAUUCCUCUUCAUCUGUGAAAUCUAUAACACAAGUUACCUGCUUCCAAAGUACGAUGGUGGAACAGCCACAAGCUAGACAUUUUCAUUACAAAUGGGAGAAAUUGGAGGGAAAGAAGUGAUAACAGGAACCAAGCAAGUCAGCAGAACACAUUACAUGAGCCCUCAAGGCUUGAAAAUAAUCCUCUGUUCUCUGAGACCUUUGACACAGUGGCCCCGCCCUCCAGACUCUAGGUAUUGGCCAAACACUGUGGAUUCCGAGUGGAGGUCCCUCAGCCCUAGGCUUCAGCUCCACCUUCCAGGCCCAGCGGAGCAGCAGCUCUGCUCCCUUGGCUUUGGGCAGCCCUAUUCUCAUAGUCUAUUUGAGUGGUGACUCCACCUUUUGGGACCCCAGAGGUCACAGCCCUACCCUUUGAGACUGAGGCAGCUCUGCUUCCUGUUUUCCUUGUCUCUUCAGCUUCUGCUUCCUGAGUCCUUGGCCUCUUGGCCCCUCAGGCCUCAGUGCCCAAGCCUGUCCUGCUUAGGCAAGAGUUCCAAAGCUCUUUAGCUCCACUGAUAAGUGCCUGGAGGUACCCCACUCUGCCAGUAAACUUCAGCCAGAAGGCACUCAGCUGUUUCGCUCCAUGGGUCAACAAGCCUAGCUCCACUGAUAGGUACUCGGAGGCACCCCACUCCACCAGGAAGCCUCCUGCCAAAGGCACUCAGCUCUCUCGCUUCGUGGAUCAGUUCCAGUGCUGUCUCACUCUGGUUUCCUGGUUCUGCUGCUGCUUCUUGCCGUCUGUGCUGUCUCCAGUGUAACAGCUCUCUUUAUUUCCUUCUGAGUCCUCACCAUAAUUGUCUUUUAUGUCCAUAAUUCCACCAACAGUCUCUUCAAGACAAUCUAAGCUUUUACUAUUAGGCACUUUAAGAUUCUUCCAACUCUAUCCAUUCACAGUUUCAAAACUGCUUCCACAUUUUAGGUAUGUGUUACAACAGCACCCCACUCUCAGUACCAAAUCCUGUCUUAGUUAUCUACUGUUGCUAUGACAGAACUAUCACAAGUGGAUGGCUUUAACAAAGAGAAAUUUAUUCUCUCACAGUCCAGUAGGCUAGAAGCCCAAAUUCAGGUUGCCAGCCCCAGGGGAAGGCUUUCUGUCUCUGUCAGCUCUGGGGGAAGGUCCUUGUCAUCAAUCUUCCCCUGCUCUAGGAAUUUCUCAUUGCAGGGAUCCUGGGUCCAAAGGAUACUCACUCCUGGCUCUACUUUCUUGGUGGUAUGAGGUCCCCCUGUCUCUCUGCUUGCUUCUCUCUUAUAUCUCAAAAGAGAUGGACUUAAGAUACAGCCUAAUCUUGUAGAUUGAGUCCUGCCUCAUUAAUAUAACUGCCUAUAAUCCUGCCUUAUUAAUGUCGUAGAGUUAGGAUUUACAACACAUAGGAAAACCACAUCAGAUGUCACAAUACUGAGAAUCAUGAUGUAGCCAAGUGUCAUGGAUUGAAUUGUGUCCCCCCAAAAUAUGUGUCGACUUGGUUAGGCUAUGAUUCCCAGUAUUGUGUGGUUGUCCUCCAUUUUGUGAUUGUAAUUUUAUGUUAAAGAGGAUUAGGGUGGGAUUGUAACACCCUUACUAAGAUCAUAUCCUGGAUCCAAUGUAAAGGGAGUUUCCCUGGGGUGUGGCCUGCACCACCUUUCAUCUUACAAAAGAUAAAAGGAAAGGGAAGCAAGCAGAGAGGGGGGCACCUCAUGCCUCCAAGAAAGCAGCGCUGGGUGCAGAGCACAUCCUUUGGACCCGGGGUCCCUCUGUGGAGAAGCUCCUAGACUGGGGGAAGAUUGACGAGAAGGCCGACAGAGAGAGAAAGCCUUCCCUUGGAGCUGAUGCCCUGAAUUUGGACUUUUAGCCUACUUUGCUGUGAAGAAAUAAAUUUCUCUUUGUUAAAGCCAUCCACUUGUGGUAUUUCUGUUAUAGCAGCACUAGAUACUUAAGACACCAAGUUGACACAUUUUUGGGGGGACACAAUUCAAUCUAUAACAUGGUCUGAGGGCAGUUCAUGUAGCCGGUUAGUCCUGUAGCCUGGUUUCUUCACUCUUUUCCUUCUUCCUCUUUGGCCCCACACAAGAAAAGACUGAUCAUUGUAUCUUAGAUGGCUGCUUGUGAGCUUUUAAGGCCCCAGCCACUACUUACCAAACUAGGAUGCAUAACAUCACUUUAUGAACUAUAUUAUGCCAGUUGUCCCGUGACAAUACAGUCCUAAGGCUUCAAACUCUGAAAAUCAAUCCCACGAGGUGUUUGGUUAUGUCUAAGUAUCCAUAACUGUGCCCCCUGCAUGCUUUGUUACAUAUAUGAACAUACAUGCAUGAAUACACACAUGAAUAUGCAUAUAGCUACAUGUCUAUAUGCACCCAUAUAUAUGCACAUAUACAUACCUACACGCAUAUAUGCAAACACACAUACAUGUGUAACCAUAUGCAAAUUUUUUGGUUGUUGUUACAAUAAGCCCCUGGUUUUUAACUUGAGAUGAGACAUGCAGUCAGUGUGGACAGAUUUAAGAGAAGAAUCAAGAGGAAGGAAAGGUAUGGGUUUCAGUUCCCCGAAGAUUUCCUCAGAAUGAUCUGUGAGUUUCGUACUGACGGGGGCUGCGUCAAACAGGCCAGACACAACUGCUAACUGGAGUUUGGCACAACGGAAAUUCCAGGAAGCUCAGAGCUAAAGAGCCUUAGCGGGUAGAGGCAGGGCUUAGGGCAGCGGGCUGGGGCAGGGGAGGGGGCUUAGGGCAGUGAACCUGGGGUAGGGGAGGGGUAGAGGCCCUCUGGCCCUCCUGAGGGCACUGGGCAGGGGUGGAUUUCCCCGUCAAACCCAUGCAAACUUGGCCACUACAGAUUAGUAAAUCAGCACGAGUAAACCCAUGCUUACCUUGCUUACUGGGUAACCGUCACUGUCAGGGACUGUAAAUUUGAAAAGAGCCUUUGAUUUUGUAGGAAGGUGCUGUGGGGUUGGGAGAGAGAUAGAUGCAGCCCUAUCUAGACCCAGAAUCUGUGAUGUGGUGAGAAAAUGUGAAAUUGUUCACUACAGAUGACCUGGCACUGGAAGCCCAGUUGGAGUUUUAAGCGUGGGGUGACAUCAUACUUUUCAGAAGGGAGAGGGUGGGAUGGAGGCAGGAGCAUCAGCAUGGAGGCUGUGAUAGCCACCCUGGAGAGAGCAGGGCCCAGACAGGGUAGUACUAUAGGAAAGCAGAGGGGGGCCCUGGGAAUCAGCCACAGUCGGGGUGUCCAGGAGAGGUUGCUUUCCUCCUCCCUCCAUGAAGUGGGGCUCAGGCAGAGAGGUGAGGUCACUCGGGCUGCCCACACCAAUUGGCUGCCUGGUGCUGCAGGGUCCAAUUUCCGUGAUGCUUCUGCCACCGACCUUCACUUGACUCUGAGUAAACAAACAACUCAAGCCUUACAGCUGUGGAGCUGGGGGUUGCACAGAGCAGACCUGUGCCUGGGCCUCCAGGGCUGCCUGGCAGGGGGUGGGGAGCCCAAUGGGCCCUGGCUCCGGGGAGACAGUGCUUGGCAACCAGGCCUCCCGAGAAGAUCAGUGAGAGUCCUCUGGCAGGAGGGGCCAGUAGGCAGCUCCAUUCCUGUUUGGCUGGGUGAGGGCUCCCUGAAGAAGUUUGGGGAGCUUGGUUAGCUCUAACAACACCACCAAUAAUAAUAGCAAUUAUCCUGACAUCAAGCCAUCCUUCAAAGUGUAUCCUGAACCGAAACACUUGCCAUCACCUCCACUGCCAGCACCUUCAUCCCAGUUGCCUCGAUCUUACCUGGAUCACCUGCAGCGUCCUCCCUGGGCUCUCUGCUUCUACUCUGCUCCCCUCCAGUCUGUCCUCCAGGUAGUAGCCACAGUGAUCUUACUGACAUAGAAGUCAGGCCAUGUCACUCCUCUGUUCCAAAUCCUGCAAUGGACCCCAGCUCACUCAGAGUGAAAUGCAUAGUCCAUACAGGAUAAUCUGCUUCCCUCUUGGUGUCUCCCACCCCCCAUUUACCUCUAUGACCUCAUUUCCCACAGCUCUCAAUUGCUCAGCUCUGGCCACCUCAGCCCUCUGGCUUUUCUACUGACUGCCUGGGAGCAGUCAUGCCCCAGGACCUUUGCACCAGCUGUUCAUCCCGCUGGAAUGCCCCUCCACCAGAUAUUCACAUGGUUUUCUCCCUUACCUCCUUCAGAUCUCUUCUCAAAUGUCACCUUCUUAUUGAGGCCUUCCCAGACCAUUUUAUUUAAAAUUUCAUCCCCCACCCCAACUCCUCUUGGCUCCCUUCUGUGCUUUUUCUCCAUUGCGCACACCACCAUCUAACCCACUAUACAUUUUACUUACAUAUGGGUCUGCCUCUCUCUGCAGACUGUGCCAUCUCCAGUGGCAGGAACCUUCGUCCUUUUGACAAGCAGGGACUUUAAAAUAACUUUUUGUUACUGUUGAGACCUCCGUGCUCAGAGCACUAAAAACAAAAACAAAAAAACCCAUUGCCAUCAAGUCGAUUCUGACUCAUGGCAACCCUGUAGGACAGAGUAAAACUGCUCUAUAAGAGUUCCAGGGUGUAAAUCUUUACAGAAGCAGAUAUCUUUCUCCCACGGAGUGGCUGGUAGAUUUGAACCACUGACCUUUCAAUGAGCAGCCUAGUGCCUAACCACUGCACCACCAGGGCUCCUCCCUGAGAGCACUAGCUGGCAAGAGCUGUUAAAUGAGAGAAGCAAUUCUACCAUUGAUUGUGCGUGUUAGACACUGAGCUUUGGUUUUCUCAACAAGCCCAGGAAACCUGCACUAUGAAUUUUUAUUCUCAUUUCCUCUUUUCUGUUUCUAGAAUUUCUGUUGGCCCGUCACGAAAUUCACCGAUUCUCUCCUCUCCUGUGUCAAGUCUGCUGACAAUCUCAUCAAAAUAAUCCUUCUUCUUUGGUAUCAUAUAUAUUUUUAUAUAGUGUCCUUCUCUCUACUGAAACUCCCUAUCUGUUCAUGCAUGUUGUCUACCUUUUUUACUAGAUCUUUUGAUACACUUACUAUAGUUAUUUUUUGAAGUCCCUGUUUGAUAAUGGAUGAUCAUUUAUUGAGUACUCUGUGGGGUACUUGGUAAAGUAGAGGGUCAGAGAAAAAGAGGAAGACUCUCAAUGAGAUGGAUUGACACAGUGGCUGCAACAAUGGGCUCAAUCAUAGCAAUGAUUGUGAUGAAAGUGUACGACUGGGCAGUCCUUCAUUCUGUUGUACAUGGGGUUGGUAUGACUUGGAAUCAACUUUAUGGCACCUAACAACAACAGCAACAUGUGUUGGGUGGAGUCCCUUAAUGGUAUAAAUAGUGUAAUACUCUUGGCUGCUAACCAAAAGUUUGGAGGUUUAAGUUCAUGCAAGGUGCCUUGCAACAAAGGUCUGGUGAUCUACUUCAAAAAAAUCAGCCAACGAGAACCCUGUGGAGCAGAGUUUUACUCUUAUGCACAUGGGGUCUCUGGUUGAUUCGUGUUUUUUUUUAAUGUGUCAGGCAGUUGGGCUAACGACUUUAAUCUUUUCAACAAGUUGAUUCAGAUGAAAACAUUGAGGUUAAGGACAGAAGGUGACUUGCCCCAAGCACUGAACGUUGGAAUUCUGACCCUGGACUGACUACAGAGCUUUCGUUCUAACCCACUCUGCCAAUCUGCCUUCAGCCACGCUCUCUCCCCAAGACCUGAGCUCAGCUCACCAAUUUUCCACAAAGAAGGAUCCAGGUGGCCUGUCUCCACGGCCUCUCCACUAUAGCCAGGUCUCUGAAGAGUGGAGCCGGCUCUGAUUCAAGCCACUCCGCUUGGCUUUCCAGACCCCCACCAUCUGGGCCUGUCCACCUCUCCCAUCCCAGCAGGGAGCCAAGCUGGUCCCCUUCUCUGCCAGAACCACUUUCUACCUUCUCCCCGGCCUCCUCAUGCCACCCCAAAUCUCAUCCCUCUGUCUCUAAUUUGUUGAUUCACUCAUUUAAUAUACAUUUAAUCAGCUUCUCUUCAGUAAAGAGAGGUAUGUAAGCACCCACCUUCCAGAGCCAGACAGCCUGGCUGGAUAUCUCAUCUCUCCACUUACCAGCUGUGUGAUUUAAGUAAGUAAUUCGUCUUUCAGUGCCUUGGUUUCCUUAUCUGUAAAGUGGGGGUAAUAGAAGGACCCAUCCCAGAAAACAGAUGGAGGAAUCAGUGACUUAGGCCACAUAUCAGUGUAGAAUGGAGCCUGGCAUCCAGCCAGCCCUCAGUGCCCAGGGAGCUGAGAGAAAGGGCUCUUCCUUUGUCUGUCUCCUUAGCUGCCUGGCCACUCAGAGGGGCAGAGUCACUGGGGUGUGAAAAGUCCAGCUGGCCAGGCUGUGCAGGAGCCCCUCUUGCUGGCCUUUCCCCCCCAGUCCCUUUCUCAAGCAGCCACAUACACACUCUUUGGCCAGAGAGGAGGCUGAGCUUUGCAAGCAAAUGCGGGGAGAAGACUGAGGCUAAGCACACAGACAGACACAUGGACAAGGCACUCACUGGACGUGCGAGCUCACACAUGUACUAGAACAUCAAUAUGAAUGUGUGCACUCAGACAGACAGACAGACAGACAGACACACACACACAGAGCCCUAACAUAACAGCUGACAUAUUGCUUUUGUUAUGUGCCAGGCCCAGCUCUAAGCAUUUUACAUCUAUUCAUUCAUUGGAGCUUCUCAGCAACCUUAGGAGGUAUGCUCUAUCGUUGUCCCCAUUUUACAGAUGGGGAAAGUGAGGCAGAGAGAAGUUAGGUAAUUUUCCCAAGAUAACACAAAGUAAGUGGCAGAGCUUGGCUUCCAACCCAGGGAGUCAUACCACAGAAGUGGAACCUGCAGGCAUGGCAACAGACUCACAGCUCACGUCUGCAAUGACACUCACUUUUAGACCCUUGGACACAGUGUGCCCAGUAGGGGAAAUGGAGACCUUCCCCAGGACAUUCACGAAGACAAGGCUGUCCACACUCACACGCACUCACGCAGAUGCGGAGGGGUAAAAGACCACCCUUAAACUUGGGGCCAGCAGACCCAAGACCCAAGCACAGCGUCAUACGAGAAUAUGCAUUCACACAGAUGCACGCUCAGGUCUGAUCGCAUAUGCUGUGUGCACAUAUGCCUCAUCCUUCCCCCCACACGCAGAGAAAUGGAAAACAACAAUCACACAGUUCUUGCAGCCUUCUGCCUCUGCUCAGAGCUGACUUCUUGCAGGCUCCUCCCCUCUCUCCAUUAGAUGGGCAGCCCCCCCGCACUGUGGGGGCUUCCCCCAGUGUGAUCCCCCAGUGCACCUGGCACAGUGUCUGGUGCACAAUAUGUGUUCAGCCUAUAUGGCUUCCCUCCCUAGUAGCUUCAGGCCUUUUGCAGCUAAGAGCUCUGACUUCACAGACAGGCAGGCCCAAGCUGUUGCUCAGAGCUGCCCUCCAGCUUAUGAGGCAAGUGACUUUACCUUUCUGGACCCACUGCUGUCCUUCUAGAGCAUACCCCUCUUGCCACAGCUGCCUCUUGGCUAUUGCUCUCACAUGCCAAGGAUGCUGUUACCCCAGGGCCUUGGCACUUGCUGUUCCUUCUGCCUGGAUGAAUCCACAUAACUCCCUCCCUCAUCUCCUGCAGGUCUUUGAUUAAAUGUCACCUUCCCAGUGAGGCCUUUCCAGGUUUCCCUACUUACAUUACAGCCCCUUCUCCACUCACCCCCCCGUCAUCCUUCUUCCCUCUCUACAUUUCUUAAUAGCUUCUUACCCACAGACAUGUUCUGUUUACUUGCUUAUUGUUUGUCUCCCCACUAGACUGUAAGCUUCAUGAAGCCAAGGAUUAUUUCUUCACUCUGGUGUCCCCUAACCCCAGGACAGUGCCUGGCACUAGCAGAAGCUCAGGAACUCUGGGGAAUGGAUGGUGAGCUGCACUGUGAAACAGGCUGGGAGUGACAAUACCCCUUCCGGGGUUGUUGGAAAGGCUAGGGACCAGAUGACUCUGUUCUCUACGGGGAGAGCUUCAUGCAAUAUCCGAGUGUCUCAGAAAAGCAGAAGAGACACAGGAAAGAUGACCCUGUGAAGACGGAAGCAGAAACUGGAGUCAUCUACAGCCAAGGAUCACCAGCUGUCACCAGAAGUUAGGAGAGAGGCAGGCAGCAGAUUAGCCCUCAAAGCCCUCGGAAGGGAUCAACUUAGCCAACACUGAUAUUGGACUCCCAGCCUCCAGAACUGUGAGACAGCAACUUCCUGUUCCUAUAAGCCUCUCAAUUUGUCGUACUUUUUUUAGGACAGCCCUAGGAAACUAAACAGAGAGCAUCUUUCCAGGUCUUUUCCUAUAUUUUACAUGUGUCCAUAUAGAACAAAACUAGGGGCCCUGGUGGCACAGUGAGUAAAGCACUCGGCUACUAACUGGAAAGUCAGUGGUUCAAACCCAUCCGCCACUCUGUAGGAGAAAAAUAUGGCAGUCUGCUCCCGUAAAGAUUUACAGCCUUGGAAACCCUAUGGGGCAGGUCUCCUCUGUCCUUUGGGUUUGUUAUGAGUCAGAAUCGACUUGACGACAAUGGGUUUGGUUUUUGGUUUAUGUAACAAAACAUGUUGCCCAUAAACAUGAAUUAUACACCAAUGGAAUCAUUCAUUCAACAAAUGUUUAUUGAACACCUACUUAGGUGCCUAGUACUGUUCUAGGUGCUAGGGACACAAAAAUGAGAUUCCUGCCCUCUGGAGCUGACAUUCUAAUAGCCUAGACAGCAGAUAAGUACAUAGUAUCAGUUCAGGUGGUGAUAGAUGCUAUAAGCAGACAUAAAUUUAGGUAAAGGGGUAGAGAAUGAUAGGAGUCGGGAUGGGGGUUAUUUUAGUUCAGGUGUCCAGGGAAGCCCCUCUGCAAAGGUGACAUUUGACCUGGGAGUUGAAGGGUGAGAAACAACAGGCCCUGUAGCUAUCAGGGGGUAGAGCCUUCCAGGCAGAAGAAACAAGAAGUGCCAAGGCCCUAAAGCUGACGUGAAAUUUCCAUUGCCAUUGAGUAGAUUCCAACUCAUAGAGACCCUGCAGGAUGGAGUAGAACUGCCCCAUAGGGUAACCAAGGAGCGGCUGGUGGAUUCGAACUGCUGACUUUUUGGUAGCAGCAGAGCUCUUAACCACUGAGCCUUCAGGGCUCUGGCAUGAAAUUAGUGAGUUGGAAAAAGCAAGGAUGCCAGAGGGGUUGGAGUGGAGUCAGGAGGGGAGAGGACCAGAGAUGGGUUGGAGAGGUGGCGUUGGGGUGGGGGGCAGAGCAUGUGGGGCCAUGAGGGCUGCGGUGAGCAGUUUGGAUUUUACUCCAAAUUCAAUGGGAGCCAUGGGAAGAUGUUGAGCAGAGGAGUGGCCUGAUGCAGCAUUUUGUGUGACAGAAUCCAGGGGCUGCUGGUUGAGCAUGGCAGCUGGAGAAGGGCAGGAGCAGGGAGACAGGGAGGCAGCUGCUGCUGUUGUCCUCAUCACACCUUGCCCCACUUAACGACUCAGCCUGAAGCUCUCGCUUGCCUGGGACACAGAGCCCAUCUGUUUUUUAAUGGUUCAGGGCACUUUCACUUCCAUCCUAUAAUUCAGAGGCUCACUCCAGUUCUGGGAGUCAGGGGCGACAAGGCUGUGACCCCCUCUGGACAGAGGAGGACAAGGAAGCUCAGAGCAGGAGGGUGUCUCAGCCCAGGUCACCGGAUGGGCUUGGUGGAGGACCCUCCAGCCUCCAUGGCUGCCUUGAACCCUGGACCUCCUUGGGGAGGACCAGGCAGGGUGGAAGUCCCUGUGAGCCCUCCUUCCAUGCCCUCUCCUGGCAUGCAGGGCUGGGCAGUGGGAGCUUCACAGCCAGAAUGGGUUCUGUUUGUCUGUGCCAAGACACUAAUGAGCCUGAAAUCCAACCCAGGGCCUCCGUGCACUGAAAGCAGUGGGAGUCAGCACCCUAAUUAACCGCCUGUGGCCCAGGAAAUCCACUCCAUUCACCCGCAGCCCAGUGAGCAGCCCCCUGGGGACCACCUGGCUGCCCUGCAUCCAGGCUUGGGACGUCUCUGGGCAGGUUGGGAACCAGGGGUGAUGCCCACCCCAUCUGUGCCACUGGCCCAGGAAUGGCUUCCUCUGCUCGCUGAAGAGCUUUGGUGCAGGGUACGGGCCACAGCAGCGGCCAGGGAGGCGGUGAGACACCAGAGAGGGAAAAUGUUAUCAGGAACUGUACAUCCACGAGCAUCUUACUGGGCAGGUUGCUUAACCUCUCUGGCUUUGGGUUUUUAAUUUGUGAAUUAAAGCUGUGUCUUCGCCUGAGUUCCCCUUGAAAGCAGACCCUGAUAUAAAGAUUUGGAUGUAAGUAGUUUAUAUGGGCAGCAAGAAAGUCCUGAUGAUCUUCUUCCAAAAAGCAGCAGUGAAAAUCCUAUGGAUCACACCAGUCCGAUCUGCAACUGCUCACGGUGUGGCUCAGGACCAGGCAGUUGGCCAUUCCAUUGUGCGUGGGGUCACCAUGAGUCAGGGGAUGACUUGAUGGCAGCUAACGACAACAACAACAGCUUAUUUGGAAGGUGCUCACAGAAAGCCUGUCAGAAGUGGGGAAAGAGAGAAUAGCCUAUAAAGGGUGCAGGCACCAAUAGUGGCAAUCAGGGUCAGCCUCCUUGAAGAACCUCUGAAAGAGUGCAAACACACCUUGGAUGUGUCCCGCUGAGGGGUGGGGAAGCUGGGCCUUCAUUCAUCACUUCCCAUUCCUCACUGGUUUAGGGUCCCUCUUGGGGGUGUUUACUCCCCGACACUUUUGGCCUGGCCAGAGAACACCUCAGGUGCAGGGGCAGGAGGCUGUUGGCCUUCCUAGGAAAUGGCCCCCAGGGUCCUCUAGAGUAGACCAAGGACAUGCGGGCAGAGAAUAGGCUAUAGGCUGCUCAUUCAACCUGCUUGUGUGGUAGUGAGCAUUACAUGAACUGAUCCAUGCAAUCCAUCUGACAACAGUACUUGGCACGUCGUAAGAGCUCAGUAAACAGCAGCAACAGUAAUAAUGGAAGCAAAUUAUUGUUGUCAUUACCAUGUUCCAGGCCCUAUGCUUGCUUCUGGAUUACAUACUGAACAAAUUUCUGCCUCUCAAGGAUGCUAUAGUGCAGGUCCUAUUAUUAGCCAAUUUUGCAGAGGAAGAAACUGAGGCUCAGUGACAGAAGCAAUUUGCUCACAUCAUACUGCUAAACCAGGCCUGGAGCUGAAAUUGAAACUCAGAUGAGGACAUCAAGGCACGAGAGAUUGACUUGCCUUGUCACACAGUUACCAGAGGUAGAGCCCGGAUUUCAGCCGAGCCAGUUUAGAUCUGGAGUUCAUGUGCUAUCAGCCACAACGUGUCACUGCCCUCUGCCCCCCUCUCCACCUCAGUGAAGAUGGUGGGAGAAGGCAGCACGUGGUUGAGCCACCCAAUGAGCCCAGGGGCCUCCAUGGCUGGGGCCCCAAAGAGGGUUCGGUGAGCAGAGCCUUGGUCCUCAGGAAGAGUUUGGAGAGGAGAAGGGGACAGCGUGAUGGCUGGGGUCAGAGAAGUCUUCUCUGAGGAGGUGACAUUUGAACAGUGAUCUGAAGGAGGUGAGGGAGCAAGCCAUGUGAGGAUAUCUGAAGGAAAAGCAUUUCUGGCCGAGGAAACAGCGGAAGCCAAGGCCCCAAGUGGUUCACACGCCCAAGUGAGCAUCAGAGUCACCUGAGAGGCUUGUUAAGCCCAGACUGCUGGGCCUCCCCCGGCCAGAGUUUCUGACCCAGUGGGUCUGGGUGGAGCUGAUUUGCAUCUCUAACCUGUUCCCCAAGAAUGGCGCAAGCAGCUAAACAUUCGACCCCUAGCCUAAAGGUCAGCAGGCAGUUCAAAUCCACUCAGAGGCACUUCAGAAGACAUGUGUGGCAAUCUACUUCCAAAAGGCCUUGUAAAUCCUACGGAGCACAGUACUACUCUGACAUACUUGGGGUCUCCACCAGUCAGAAUUGACACAACGCCAGCCAACAACAACAACCUGUUCCCUGGCACGGCUGAUGCUGCUGGUCCCGUGAGCACACUGAGAACCUCGGCUCUCCUUGGGAAGGCGGUGGGGGUGGUUGUUUUUAACUGCUGCUGAGUCAGCUCCAACUUCUGGCCACCCUGUGUCCAACAGAACAAAAUGUUGCCCAGCCCUACAUCGUCCUCGCAAUCACUGGCAUGUUUGAGUCCAUUGUGCCAGUCCAUCUCACCCAGGGUCUCCCUCGCCCUUUCCGGCCCUCUUCUUUGGCAAAUAUGAUAUCCUCCUCCAGCGAUUGAUCCCUCUCAACGACAUGUCCAAAGAAAUCCAUCUGACAAUGUUCUGUUGUGGUCCAUAAGGUUUCCAUUGGCUAAUUUUCAGAUGCAGAUCACCAGGCCUUUCUUCCUAGGAACAGGUGAUGGCUACAGAUGAGAAAAUGGAGGCUCUGCAAGGGGACAUGAUCUGCCAAGUCCAUACAACCGGGAGGUGAUGGGCCCUAAAGCUAGUACUUGAGCCAAGGCCUCUUCAGUGCUUGGCCAGCUUCUGGUCCCUGGUGGAGAGAGAAGGGAGCCCCUGGGGGUCUCUCUCCUCCACAUUCCAUUCAAGGUUAAAGUCUGAGGAAGUGAGGGGAAGGGGGACAGAGGGUGUGACCUGAGCUGCCAGGGGCCAUCAGCUUCAAGGGUGUUGAGACCUUUCUGCCUCUGUCUCCACGGAGGCCAUAAUGGAGGGUGGGGUUGCAUCCCAAUGGUUGUCAGGAAUGCUGUCAGGGAUUGUAUUUUCCUGACCCCUUGAAGUUAGGCAUACCGUGUGACUUGGUUUGGCCAAAGAUUUGUGAGCAGAAGUGGCGUGUGCCUCUUCCAGGUGGAAGCCUUAGGAGCUGGUGAACGGUUUGCCAUCUCUAGACCCUGCCAGCAUGAGGAGCAGGGUCUUCGUGGAAUGGCUUUGCCAGCCUGGGUCCCUGGCUGAAACAAUGCAGAGCAGAGCCCGCGCCAACUUGAGAUGGAUAUGUAACAUGAGUAAGAAAUUAACCUUUGUUAUUCUCAGCCAACAGUCAGCAAACUUUUUGUUAAAAAGCCAGAUAGGAAAUAUUUUAAGCAUGGGGGCCGUGUUGUCUCUGUCACAGCAACUCAGCUCUGCCGCUGUAGCAAGAAAGCAGCCAUGGACAUAUAUACAUGAAUGGGUGUGGCUAUGUUCAGAUAAAAUUUUAUGUACAAAAACAGGUGGCCAGGGGCCAGAGUUUGCUGACCCUUAUUUGAAGCCAGUGAGAACUGGGGGUUGUUUGUUUCCUGAACACUACCCAGCCAUACUAUUACACAUUCCUUAGUGAACUCGCUGGAAUAAACAAUAGAACCUAUUAUCUAUCCCUAUGCAAGCACCGGGAGUGGAGAAGGCACUCUUUGGCCCCUGGGUAUAUGGAAUGGUGUCUGGUAUACAGUAGGUGCUCUAUGUUUGCUGGAUGAACAGAUGAAUGAAUGCAUUUAUGUAAAUAAUUUAGCCCAGUCCCUGUCAUUAUAAGUGCCAAUGAAUGGUAGCUUCAAGUAAACAAUUGUUACUACCUGGGUUUUGUCUUUGCCUGUUUAACAAGAGGCAUGCGGUUGCCUGCCUGGGUUCAGGCCCUAGUUCUACCAGUUUCCAGUUUUGUAGCCUUGGGCACCUCACUUAAAUUUUCUCAUGUUGAUAGAUGGGAUUUAAAACGGUACCUGCCUCCUAGAGUUGUUGAGGAGUACAUGAAUCUUGGUGUGUGCCUAGAGUCCCCGGGUGGUGUAAACAGUUAACACGUUUGGCUGCUAACCGAAAGGUUGGAGGUUCAAGUCCACCCAGAGGUGCCUCAGAAAAAGGAUCUGGUGAUCUACUUCUGAAAAAUCAACCACUGAAAACCCUAUGAAGCAUGGUUCUACUCUGACACACAUGGGGUCGCCAUGAGUCGGAAUUGACUGGAUGGCAACUGGUAGCCUGUGUCUGUUACAGAGGGAACACUCAGGAACAUUAACCCUCUGCCACACUUUGCCAGGGCCCAGGCUCAUUGUGCACCAUCGGGUUUACUGAGACCCUCCCUAGCCUGGGGACAGGAGACCUUUGUAACUUGCCACGUGACCUUGGACUAUCACUGCUUUCGAAGAGCCUCGGUUUUCCCAUCUGUGAGGUGGGAGAUGGAGGCUGAAGUGGGGGACCUCUGAGGUCCCUGGUAGCCUGCAACUCCACAUAGGCCACUCCUGAGCAGCCCAUGUUCUCCAAGCCCUUUGCAUAGCCCUGGGCCGGAGGCAUGAAUAGUGAGGUCACAAACAAGACUAUUGAUGGUAUCAUAGCCCUUAUUAUUAUCAUGACAAAGCUGCAAGUGAGAGGAAGUCCUUUUGGGAGUGGGGUUCCCUGGCUUCUGGGCCGUCCUGCUCUGCCUUGAUUUCCCCCACUUCCACCCAGUGGUCAGACCCAGCUGUGGGUGCAGGGGGGAGGUGGCGGCCCCUGGGUGCUCAAAGCUGAAAGAUGCAUUCCUCACAAUUGCCACCAAGGCUUCUUUUUUUAACCACCAUGAGCUGACUAAUGCCCGAGAGUGUCAUUCCCUCCCCCUCCAGGUAGGAGCAUAGGUGUCUCAAAAGCAGGGGAGUGAGGUAGUGGGGGGGGGGGAGGAAGCUGCUGCCUCCAAGAGCUGCUGGGACACCAGGGCCACCUGUGUGUCCUCAGAGCCCCAGCCCUGCCCCAAGGCCCCACCCAUUGGGCAUACAUGUCCCAGCCUCUCUAUCAGGGCUCUUUUUUUCUCACUGAGACCCCCCUUCUCCCAGAUCCUCCGCACCCUUUUUUGAGUUUCCAUAUCCUAGUCCUCUCUAGGGAAACCCUGGUGGCAUAGUAGUUAAGAGCUACAGCUGCUAACCAAAAAGUUGGCAGUUCUAAUCCACCAGGUGCUCCUUGGAAACCCUAUGGGGCAGUUCUACUCUGUCCUAUAGGGUUGCUAUGAGUUGGAAUCGACUCAACGGCAAUGGGUAUUCCUCUCUAGAUCCCUGCCCAUCUCUGAAUCCCUUCUCCUCUCUGGGCCCUUGUCCCCCUCUGAACCCCAUCAUCCUCUCUGGGUCCCUGUCACCUCUCUGCCUUCCCCAGCCGCUACCUCCAGAUCAAAACAACAUGAAAUUCACUGCCAUCGAGUCAAUUCCAACUCAUGGCGACCCAACUGUUAUAGAGUAGAACUGCUCGACAGUGUUUUCUUAGCUGUAAUCUUUAUGGAAGUAGAUCGGCAAGCCUUUCUUCCAAGGUACCUCUGGGUGGUUUUGAACUGCCAUUUUGGUCCAUAGUGGAACACAAACCAUUUGCACCACCUAGGGACUAGCAGGGUUGGCUGUGGAGGACUUAGCUCUGGCCUGGGAAUCAGGAAUCCUGGCUCAAGCCUCAGUACAGCUUGAGACUCUUAGGGGACUUUAUGCAACUCUUGUCUGUAUUCUGGGCCUCAACUUCCCUAUGUGUGCAGUGAGAAGGUUGGACUGGAUGAGUGAGAAAGUCCCGUCUCACGCUGAGUAGCUAAUGUUCCCUCAAAACCCAAGACCCUUCCAACUGGGUGGGAACCCAGCGGCUUGUCUUCAUGGUGAUGGAAGUUCAUGUUCCUCACUGAAGUUCAUUUCCCCUAAAUAGCAAGGGCUCUCAGCAGCUGUCUCCUUGGUAUAUUUUGGGAUUUGCCUUACUAUUGCAAACGUAGUUCCAACUUCCCCUUCUUGAAGUCAGCCGUGUCUGGUCCAAAGGGACCCUCAUGCAGCCUGGGUCCCGUUAUGUUUUCCACCUACCCACAACCUAAAACUUGUCUAGGGUGGGUGGGUGGAUGUCUAGUGACACUGGCCAAACCCUGAGCCAGUGAAUUUAUCAUGCUGAGGGCACGGGGCACGGGAUGGACUCAUUCUGAUGAGCUGGUGCAGAGUUUGGAGAUGCUCAGCCUCCAGGGUCAAGCCCAGUUAUUGGGGCAGCAGUGGACGCCACCACCAGAUUUGUUGCUAUAGGACUGUGAGUGGGCGACAGCCCUAGCUGUGCCCCUGGGGCUCCACUACCACUUUGUGCUGAGCCCACCCUUCCAGUCAGUGCCUGAGCAGGUGGGGGUACCAGGACAGGCCCAAUCUGGAGACAUGUGGACCACUCUAGUGAGUGACUUUGGCCCAGGGAUUCCCAAUUACCAUGGCUGAACCUUUCUUGGAACUGCACUGCAGUCCCAGACUCUUCCUCCCCAAGCUGCCUUCCUUCCCCCUCUAUCCCCAGGUGUCAGACCUACAUGUCACCGCCUGAAGUUUCUCCCUGCCUUCUCCUGCUUACACCCCCAAAAACCUCUUGCAUUUAUAAUCCAGUUUUGGUAUCUGCUUCUCUGUUGGCCCGCACUAGCACAGUUACCCACUCGUAGGCUGUUCAGGUUAUGUCAUGCACAGCAAAUAACAGCAACAACUAAUCGUUAAUGCGCACAUGUUAAUGGGCCAAGCACUGUGCUACAUCCUGUAUAGGCAAUAUCUCACCUAAUCCUCACACAACCUCAGGAGGGAGAAACUCUAACCAUCCCAUUUUAGAAUGAGGACGCUAAAGCUGAGAGAAUCCAGGAACUUAAAACCACAAGUACAAAAUGAUUGUAGAGUCUCCACAAUUAGUGCUAACAUCUGUCUCACUGGUUUAUGUGACAUAUGUCAAUGAGUGCUCAGUCUCUUUUUGUUGAUCAUCAUGUCUCCCUCCUCGGAGCUUCACUUAAUCCCUGGCAUGUAGAAGGCUCCGAAUAAGUAUUUGCUGAAAGUGUGAAUGGAUAAAUGAGCAGUGAAAGAGCUGAGAACAAUAGCCAAAUGGCUUAUCCACAUUGCAAAAAGGCCAUAGAUGAGAAGAGGCUUUUGUUUGAAGCUCCUCAGCCCCAGCAAAACAUGAGGGUGUGAGUUUCUAUAUUUAUUAAAACAUAUUUAGCUUCUCUUCUUUUCUUUGUCACUCCAGUUCUCUCCAUAUUUAGGACACAGAAGAGAGCAAUGCAAGGAGCUUGUCAAACCGAGUAGGGCUCCUGACUCUGCCACUCACAGCUUAUGAGUUAUCUCUCUUUCUGGGCCUAGGUUUCCUCAACAGUAAGUAGGGGUGGUGAUGUGUACUGGAUCAAGUCCUGGCAGAGAGAGGACAGAGCGGAUAGCCAGCAGGCACUACUCUCCUGCCUCCUGUUAACCCACAUAGGUGGGACACAGCCCCAGGACUGAGCCGGGACAAGUAGGAAGGUAGGGGGCUGCAUUGGCUGAAAUGCUAAUCCCCAGAGGAAACCCAGUGCUGGCAGCCUGCUCCCUUCCUCCAGCUGCGUGGUGGCAUCCUGUCAGCCCUUCCAAGCCUGUGGGCGAGUAUCAGGCCUCUGGCUGCCCCAGUUUCUACUGACAGCAGAGGGACCAUGCGUGAGUCACUGCAUCACCCCAGGUUUCCGCUGCUGCCCUUCGGCCAGCCAGGCCUUCCUGGAUUAGUAACUGGAUCAGAGUCCCCGCCCCUGAGAGAGUCUGGGGCUCAGGAACUCAAGGCUGGCUGUGCCCGCUGCAGGCGACCUUGUUCCAGCCUCUUUGGACCUCACUUCAUAGAUGGGGAAACUGAGGAUCAGAGAUGGGAGGGGAUUAGCCCAGGGUCACACUGACACUAAGUGGCAGAACAGGGACUCGAACCUAAAUUUCCUGGUGCCUAUCUCAUGGGCUCAUGGGUUCAUUCAUUUACUCAUUCAUUCAUUCAUUUGCUGGGUUCUGUUUCCACAAAUUAUGUCUCAAUUUUUUUUUUUUCUGUCACUGUCCCGCACGGCUGGCCGUCCCCUGGGCCCAGUCACUGACAGCUCUUACCUAGGCAGCUGCAACAAGGUCCAUCCAAGCCAUUUUUCACAGCAGGACGGGGAGGGAGCACUUUUUAAAACAUAAAAAUCAGGUCAUGUCGCCCUCUUGCUUGGAUCCUCUCACAGUUUCCCAUCUCACUUGGAAUAAAAGCCAAGGACUUUACUAGGAGUCAUAAUGCCCUAAGAAUCUGGGCUGUAAUCCUUGAUCUUCCCUCUUACUGCCCUCCCCCUUGCACACAUGGCUCCAAUCACGUUGGCCUCUUCAGAGUAUCUAGGAAACGUCAAGUUGCCCCACCUUGGAGACUUUGCAUAUACUGUUCCCUUUUUUUUCUGCCUGGAACGUCCAUCUCUCAGUGUCCCCCAUGGCUGGUUCCUUCCACCCUUCAGGUCUCAGUACAAAUAUCCCCUCCUUGGGAAGCCUGGCCAAAGCAGACCUCCCGCCUACCCUCAGCUAUUCUGCCCUGUUGCCCUGCCUGACUUCUUCACAGCACAUACCACAUGGAAACUAUUUUGUUAGUUCAUCUGUUUACUUUAUUCCCCACAAGAGAGGGAGCUUCCUGAAGGUGCCGGUCUUAUUCUCCAUUGUGGCCCCAGUGCCUAGAAGAGUCUCUGGCACAAAGUGGGUGGUCAACAAAUAUUUCUUGAAGAAAUGAACGAAAGAGCCGAGCAAUGAGGUCAAUGCUGCCUCGCCUUUUAAGACUCAACUCUCAGCCUAGGGCAGGAGGUAGUUCACUUUUCAUUGUAAAACUAUUCAUACUGUUUGAAAUUUUUAGUAUGUGGCUAAUUUAAAAAAUGGAAGUAUUUUGUUGAAUUUGCUUAUUCAUAAAACAGGUAUUUAUUGAGCACCUACUGUUUACCGAAGAAGCCCUGGUGUUGCAGUGGUGAAGUGCUUGGCUGCUAACCAAAACGUCAGUGGUUUGAACCCAGCAGACGCCCUGAAGGAGAAAGAUGUGGCAGCCUGCCUCCAUAAAGAUUUACAGCCUGGGAAAACCUAUGGCACAGUUGCGCUCUGACAUGUAGAGUAGCUAUUUUUUUUUUUUUAUGAACCAGAAUUGACUCGAUGGCAGAGAAUUUUUUUGGUUUUGGUUUACUGCACACCAGACACAUGUCAAAAAAGGCUCAAGAGAUUGUGUUGGCAACUCUUGUCUGGAGAGGGGAUGGGAGGAUAGAGAGAGAGGGAAGCUGGCAAAAUUGUCACGAAAGGAGAGACUGAAAGGGCUGACUCAAGAGGGGGAGAGCAAGUGGGAGUAGGGAGUGAGAUGUAUGUAAACUUAUAUGUGACAGACUGAUUGGAUUUGUAAACGUUCACUUGAAGCUUAAUAAAAGUUAAUAAAAAAAAAAUGUAAUUGAAAUGCAUCAAGAGGCCAGAGGACAGUUUUGAGCAGUGCACCGAUAUAAUCACUCUUGAUGUUAUGUUCAUAAGGAGUUGUUCAGGGUAUAAGUGAAAACGAGGAAGUUUUUGGCUAAGGAGUAAGGAUUUUUUGAGAAUCAUCUGCUCAGGAGCCUUGUCGAAGGCUGGUGAAAAAUGUAAGUUUCUAGAUCCUAAGAAUUCAAGUUCCUAAGUUAAGAAUCAGAACAUCUGGAAGGGGAACCAGAAAUCCAAGGGGUUCCUCAUGCAUGUGGAAAUUUGAGAACUUCUACAUACCUUCUAACAACAACAGGCAGAGCUAUAGCAAUGUCCAUGUGAAAAAAGGAAUCAACUUUUUAAAAACUUUUUAUUGAAGUGUAACAUAACCUGUGUUUGUUUUUUAAGAGAUGACAGAGUCCUUAACAUUUGCCUUAAAUAAUUUGUUCUCUACUUGGAGCCCUUAAAACCUUAAGGAUAUGGAACAACAGUAAUGGAGGUAUUUCAGAAUAGAUCCAGCUAAAAUUUACAUUAGAAAAGAAAUAAAAGUACUUCGUAGAUUGACUGAAACUUCAAAUAGUUUGAUUUUACCUAGAAUUAUAUCAACUCUGUGUGUUAAAGCUGGUUAUAUCACUGUUAAAAUGUAAUAUUUGCUUCCUUGUUUUAAAACAUUGAAAACCAUUACAUAUUGGAGAUGAUUUAUAGAGUGGUUAAAAGGGCCGGUUUUAACUUUAGAUAAGUGGUUUUGAAUUAUGGCUAUUCUUGUUACUAUAUAGGUGAUUUUGGUCUAAUUUCUAAACUUCCUGAAGCCUCAGUUUUCUUGUCUGUAAAAUGGGGUUAAGAUAAGUCCUGUAGUGAUAAGGUUGUUUUGAGUACUAAUUGAGAUAAUUCUGUAAAUGGCUUAGCAAGGUGCCUAGCAUAUUGUAAUAUGUUUAAUAAAUAUGAAUGAUCAUUAAAAAAAAAAAAAAAGGCUCAAGAAGUCCCUGCCCUCAGGGAGCUGAUGUUCUAGCUUAGGGGCUCACAGCCUUGGCUCUGUAUUGAGUCACCCAGGGAGCCUUGAAAACUCCUGCUGCCUCGGCUGCGCCCCAGUGAUUCUGACUCAAUUGGUCUGCAACGGGGCAUCAGGAUUUAAAAAGCUCCCCCUGGGGAAUUCCAGUGUGCUGCAGGGUUGAGAGCCACUGUUUGGGGGAGGAGACAGAUAAACAAAACACCUCAGGCAGUGAGACCUGCGGUGGAGAAAGCCACACAGGUAAAAGGGUUGAGUGGGAUGGGGUUGCUGUUUAAGAUAGCUUGGUCAGAGAGGGUCACAUGGGGAGGUGACAGUAGAGCAAGGAGGGAUCCAAAGAAAGUGAGGGAGUGAGUCAUGUGAUACUAAGGGAAAGUAGCCCAGGCAAAGGGAAGAGCAUGUGCCAAGACAUGGGGAUGGGGAAGAGCAUGGUCGUGUGAUGAAUGGCAAAGGAGCCAGCAGCGUGGCUGGAACGUGGUGGGAGGGCAGGCCUGUGACGGGAAGAAUGGAAGGAGGCAGGUUGAGAGGCAGCUGAGUCUUGUUAGGAUCAGCCUCAUAGACCCGGGCUUGUGGGUAAGAUUGUAGAUGAACAGAUAGCUCCUUGGCCAAGAAAAAGUUCCCAAACUACUGUCCUCAUUGAGUCUUAAGCUUCAGCAGCCACACGUCCCACGGUUCCCCAGGCCUGGAGGAGUUAUUGCUGCCUCAAGGCCCUGAUUUCCUCCUCCCUGGCUACAUCCUCUUAGCCGUGACCCUCAUUACCCAAAUAGAUGCUGGCAAGAAAAGGCUGGUCCGAAUAUUGGGAUCAUCCCCACUUGUCUCAAUGUACUCGCAGUGGCAUCAGACCCAGCCCCUUCCACCCCACAUGCACCCCCUCUACCCUGCCAGCUCAUAAAAGCUUGGGGCUUGGAAGGGAGGGGUUGGAAGAAAGGUUACCAUGAGUGAUCAAGGGGUUAAGCCCCCUGCCUUGGGGAGGAUUGCGUGCUCUAAAAGGCUGGGUCUGUCUGACCUGGGUCCUGGGGGCCCAAAGCUGGCGAGUGCUCUGGCCUCACAGAUCAGAAGCAGGCUGAGCUUGGCCAGGUGUGGGCACAAAGCCCGAGUGAGGGAGAUGGCCAGGUCGUUCUGGGUAUAGCUAGCCAUGAGCACUGGUCGGCAUGUCUGGAGAUCAGGGUCACCAUGUCCAGGGAAAUUCCAGAGCUCUAGAAUCUCGGAGUUCUCUGUCCUAGAGUUAUAAUGUAGAAAGUUAUUUAGAACAUUGUGUUAGAAUUGUGUCCAAAUGUCAUAGUGUGUUAGCCUCUUAGAUGAGACUGUUGUGUUACACACUCUUUUUGUUUUUAAAUAAUUUUUAUUGUGCUUUAAGUGAAAGUUUACAAAUCAAGUCAGUCUCUCACAUAUAAACUUAUAUACACCUCACUACAUAUUCCCAUUUACUCUCCCCCUAAUGAGUCAGCCAGCUCCCUUCUUCCAGUCUCUCCUUUCAUGACCGUUUUGCCAGUUUCUAACCCUCUCUACCCUCCCAUCUCCCCUCCAGACAGGAGAUGCCAGCACAGUCUCAAGUUACACACUCAUAAUAUUGCAUUAGCAGGCUGUGUAAUGUUAUGUCUUAGAAUGUUGUGUGGCUUUAGAAUGUUCAAUGAGAAUGUUGGUUACAACUGUGCCAAGAUGCUACAUUAGAAUAUUAAGUUGUAUUGGAGUGUUAUAUUCGAACGCUAAGACUGCAGAAGAAUUGACGCCUUUGAAUUGUGGUGUUGGCAAAGAACAUUGAAUAUACCACGGACUGCCAAAAGAACGAAUCCAUCUAUCUUGGAAGAAGUACAACCAGAAUGCUCCUUAGAAGCAAGGAUGGCGAGACUGCGUCUUACAUACUUUGGACAUGUUGUCAGGAGGAAUCCGUCCCUGGAGAAGGACAUCAUGCUUGGCAGAGUACAAGGUCAGCAGAAAAGAGGAAGACCCUCAACGAGGUGGAUUGACACAGUGGCUGCAACAAUGAGCUCAAGCAUAACAACGAUUGUAAGGAUGACUCAGGACCAGGCAGUGUUUUGUUCUGUUGUGCGUAGGGUCGCUAUGAGUUGGAACCGACUCAAUGGUACCUAACAACAACAAUGUUCUGAUAUAUUAGAGUGUUACAUUAGAAAAUGGUGUUGAAAUGCUUUGUUAGUGAAUUUUCUUAGAAUGUCAACUUGAGUCUUAAAAUUCAGAGGCUGGUUCACCGAGGCAAGAGUCCUUUGCCAGGGCACGGCACCAAGUUUGGGAGGGGCUCUAAUGCCGACUUCUUCCCCACCUCUUCCUCUCUUCUGACCUCAAUUUCCCCAUUUUCAAAGCAGGGGCUUGUGGGCAGUGUGGUCUAGGGCUUCCUCCCUUGGACUGCCUGUGGCGCUAGACUACUGGACUUUGUCCCCUCCCGGUCAGGAAGUGAGAAUUCUCUUUAACAAUGAGGUUGAUCUUAUCAGUGUGUUAAUGACUUUCUCGGAGUAAAGAGCAUCCUCACUGACAGGAAAAGUAAAAGGAUCAAGUAUCCAGGGUGAGAGAAACUCCUGGUGGCCAGGUCAAGGGGACAGAAUCAUGGGGCCUCCAUCCAGCAGCUUACUGCCCUCUAAAGGCAUGACAGUCCAUUUCCCCAAAUGAGGAUGCUCCAAGGUCCCCUGUACCUCUGCAUUGGCUGUGGCUUAACAGCUGUGAGGGACACCCCCGCCCCUGGCCCUUUCCAGACCCACGGCCAGUUCCAGUCCUGGACUGCCCACCCUGACUGACGGGAGGAACUGCUGAGUAGGUAGGCCUUGGACAAAUGAGUUGAGUAAAACUAUCCUGGGCCACCCCAACCCCAACCCUCACUGCUUCUCACUUCCUAAAAACCAAGACUGAUGCCAAAACAGCCUGGGAAACUCACACACUCUGAUUUUUAUGUGCAUCUUCAGGGUUCCCACGCACCUCCACCCAGAGACCCAGCUAUCCUUGACCUCAGGCAGUGAUGGGGCCGAGAGCAGAGCCCAGCACACCAGUUAGUGACCGUGAAGGCUCUUGCACAAGUCACUUCCUUCUUGCUUACAUGUGUCCUCAAGUGUAAAAUGGUUCAAGCACUGAGCUAAAUGCUUUCAAGUAUAAUUUCAAGCUUGUGCUCACCAUGAUCUCAUGGACAUGGUGAGCACGAACUUGAGAUACCACCUGAAAGUAUUGUAACCAAACUGUUCCAGGUCUGCUCGGCGUGGCUGUAGAGAAACAAAACAGGUGAAAGUGAAUGAAGAAGCUUUAUUUGAUUGGCCAAGCAAAGGAGCACACUGGGACUUGCAUUGCCAAGAUGGCUCCCAGAACAAUGGCCCAAGGGGUUUAUAUGGGCGAAGUAAAUUGGGUCUGGGGUCUUCAGGAGCACCUCGAGUUGGGGCCAACUUGCUGAUUGGUCAGGCAGGAAAGGCGUUCCCGGGGCAGUCUGGCCUUUCUGCGCUUGCUCAGUUUAAAAAGUGGUGGCUCUCAAACUGAAUCUUAGGCUCAGCCCCCUCGGUUCUGAAAGCCUUCCCCCACUCUUGGGAUGCUAAAGUUUGGUUCUCUCCGGUGGGAAAAGAGUUCCAGGGUCACCCAAAGGAAGGGGGUUGAUGGUUCUGUGCAUGUCCGGGCAGGCCAGAUCUAGUUCUUGCCAGUUUCAGCUGGUCCUGUGACCCCAGUCUCUUGUUUUCCUCAGCUUGGCCAGAAACAGGAAGCAUCCCUAAAUAAGGAGAUAGCUUAAAGGCAGGGAGUUAGUUCCUAAAUCACAGAAGGUGGCAGGCACAGCCCUUUGCCUAUUCAAGAUGGCGGGCAGGCUACUGGUCUCAGUAUUUAGCUCAGCACUGACCAACUGGCAGGUAUUCAGCAAAUGUGGAGGUUGUCCAGACCCAGGCCUACCUCUACCCCUCCCCCAUGCCUCCAGCUCAGGCUCUGGGUCCCAGCCACCUGCCUGCUCCAGUUCAGAGGAUAAAAUCCAUAUCCCAUGGUCAUCCUGAGAUGAAAAGGGAAAAUCCACAGGAGAAAGACAGCCAGAAGUCUCUGUGGCUGGGAGUGUUCUGGGGUAGACAUGAUGAGUAAGGGGGUUUUGGUGAAGCAAAUGAAUCACCUGAUACCUGCAAGGGCACCUGAUAAGAGAGGUAAUGCCUUGAAACCUGGAGUCAAGAGUCUGAGCAGGGUUCUAGGCCUACAUUGCUUAACUGGCUGACCUCUUCCUAUUUCAGGGCCUCAGUUACCUGUAAAAUGGGGCUUAAAAAGGCACCUCCUUUGAAUCCAUACCUUAUACCAUAUAUGAAAAUUAACUCAAAAUGGAUCAAUGACCUAAAUCGAAGAACUAAAGCUAUGAAACACUUCAAAGAAAACAUACAGGUAAAGCUUCAAGGCCUUGUUUUUGACAAUGGAUUCUUAGAUAUGACACUGAAAGCAUGAGCAACAAAAGAAAAAAAAUAAAUGAACAAAUUGUACUUCAUCAAAAUUAAAAACUUUUGGGCAUCAAAGGAUUUUAUCAAGAAAGUAAAGAGACAACCUACAGAAAGGGAGAAAAUAUUUGGUAACCAAAUGUCUAACAGGAGCCCUGGUGGUGCGGUGGUUAAGAGCUAUGGCUGCUAACCAAAAGGUCAGCAGUUUGAAUCCAUCAGCCACUCCUUUGAAGCCAUAUGGGGCAGUUCUACUCGGUCCUAUAGGGUUGCUAUGAGUCCGAAUUGACUUGAUGGCAACAGGUUUGGUUUUUUUUUGGUUUAUAUGUCUAAUAAGAGUUUAAUAUCCAUAAUAUAUAAAGAACUCCUAGAACUCGACAACAAAAAGACAAACAACACAAUUAAAAAACGGACAAAGGAUUUGAAUAGACAUUUUUCCGAGAAGAUAUACAAAAGUCCAAUAAGCCCAUGAAAAGACACCAUUAACCAAUUGGCAUUCAGUAGAUUCUGAUUCAUGGUGACCCCAUGUGCGUCAGGAUAGAACUGUGCUCCAUCGUCCCAGUGGCUGAUUUUUUGGAGGUAGAUCACCAGGCCUUUCUUCCAAGGCAUCUUGGGGUAUACUUGAACCACCAACCUUUUGGUUAGAAGCUGAUCUUGUUAAAGAUUUGUAACACUCAGGGACCCCCGUUAAUCAUUAAGGAAAUGUAAAUCAAAGCCACAAUGAGUCACCACUUCACACCCACUAGGAUGGCUCUGAUCAGAAAAAUGAAAACAAGUGUUGGCAAGUAGUGGGGAAUUUGGAACCGUCAUGCACGGCUGGUAGGAAUGGAAAAUGGUGCAGCUGCUAUGGAAAUCAGUUUGGCAGUUUUUCAAAAGCUUAAACAUAGAACUGCCCCAUAGAGAACUACCAUAUGACCUAAAAAUUUCACUCCUAGGCAUACACUCAAGAGACUUGAAAGCAGGGACCCAAAUAGAUACUCGUACACCAAUGUUCACUGCAGCGUUACCCACAAUAACCAAAAUGUGGAAACAACCCAAGUGUCCAUCACUGGAUGAAUGAAUGAACAAAAUGUGGUAUAUCCAUACGGUGGAAUAUUAUUCAGCCAUAAAGAGAAAUGAAGUCCUGAUACAUGCUACGAAAUGGAUGCACCAGGAAAGCAUUAUGCUGAGUAAAAUAAGUCAGAUAUGAAAGGACAAUAAUAUUCUAUGAUCCCACUUAUACGAAAUAUAUAGAACAAGGAAAUGCAUAGAGACAAAAAUGUAUUAGUGGUUACCAGGGGCUGGGGGAGGCAGAGUUGGGGAGUGACUGCUGAAGGGGCCCUGAGUUUCUAUUUGGGGUGAUGAAAAGCUUUUGCAAAUGGAUAGCAGUGAUGGUUGUAUAGCAUAGUGGAUGUGGUUAAUAUUUCAGAAUUGUACACUUAAAAAUGGCUAAAAUGACAUAUUUUUUUGUUAUAUAUAUUCUAUCACAGUUUAAAACAAAAAAAGGUCCUGUACUUCUUUCACAGGGCCACUGUAGCAGCCAACAUCAUGGUAUAACUCAAAUCCAGAAAGGACCAUGAGAGGCUUUGUGUAAUGUGGGGACAGAAAGCAGAGUGUCACACAGCAAUGGGGGAGUGACAGGAAAGAACGAGGGGGAGGAGAUAAGGACUCCCAGUACGCCUUAGGGAAAUAGCAUGCGAUGGACAAUCAGCAGACCUGGGUUCAAAUGCUGCUGUGCCACUGGCUUGCUGUGUGACCCUCAGCGGGUCCCCUGCCCUCUCUAGGCCUCACAAGCUGGUCAGAUUGGAUGACUCCAGUGGUGCAUCCCCUUUAGACCCUCAGAUUCUCUGAUGUGCAGCCUCAGGCUCUCAAGUGCUUGGCUAGGGAAGUUGCUCACAAUUCCCAAGCACCUUCACUCCCAUCUUCCUGCUUGGAGGACAACAACAGUAUUCCAAGAAUACUCCUGGUGUAAGCAGCUGGCAGAGCUGAGGAUGGUCAGUGGCUAGUGCCCCUGUUUGGGCUGGGUGACAAUCCCCAGACCCCACCUGUCUGCUUUCCCUGUGGUCACCUGCUGGGGACAGUGGGCAUUGGGCAAAUGUGUCCCAGGCACUGUGCCUGGUGCUGAGGCACAGCAGUGAGCAAGGUAGAAUUAAUUCUUGCUCUCAUGGAACUAACAUGCAGAAAACAGACUGGUCAAUACGUUGCCAUUGUCAUCCGCUAUUGUGUCAGCCCCUGACUCAUGGCGACCCCAUGCACAACAGAAUGAAACAGUGCUUGGUCCUGCACCAACCCCAUGAUUGGUUGUGGAUCAGACUGUUGUGUUCCAUAGGGUUUUCACUGGAUGAUUUUCAGAAGUAGAUCACCAGGCCUUUCUUUUUAGUCUGGAAGCUCCGCUGAAACCUGUUCAGCAUGCAAGCCCCCUCUGACAGAUAGGUGGUAGCCACACGUGAGGUGCACUGGCUGGGAAUCAAACCUGGGUCUCCCGCGUGGAAGACGAGAACUCUACCAUUGAAGCACCUUUGAGCAAUACAUUAGAAACAUAAAUAUUGAACCACAUAUCACAGGGAUGCCUGAGGGUCAGAGCCAGCAGGGCCUAAGAGGCCAGGACAAGGCGUUUGGACUUUAUUCUAACUGUGAUGGGCACCCAGGGAGGGUUUUAAGAAGUAAAGAGACCCUGUGAUUUUUGUUUAAAAUGCCAAGGCUGCUGUGUAGAUAAAGGCCAAGAGUGGAAGCAGGUGACCCCUGAGGAGGUUGGUGUGAUGCCUGGUGAGUAAUGAAGUGAGCCUGGGAAUUGGGGUUCAGCCCUUGGCAGGGGUCAGAAUGAGACGGAGAGAUCUAUGGAAACAGCCAGCAGCAUCCUGGAGAGCUUUUGGAGGUGGACCAGGGGCAGCCCCCGCCGAGUCGAAUCUAGUCCCGUGCCAGGGUAAGAGCGGGAGGCUGGCUUUUGCCCCAUGGACUUUUGAAGUUCUGUGCUCUGCUCUCUGUCCUCCCCCCCACCCCGCCCCCAUGUGUUACUCCAGAGAAAGGAAGAUGAGCUUGUGUGUGUUUGUGUGUACGCGUGUGUGCAUUUGUAAAGGCCCAUGUUUCUCAAGUAGAAACCAUACCACUGGGAAAAUGGGGAAGCUGGGGCCCAGGGCAGGAAUGUGGCCAUGGGCCCCUCAGGGAGGAUAAGUCAGGGACCACACUGCUCAGUUCCUGCUGACACAGAGGUUUCAGCAUUCUCAGAAUACCUGGGGUCAAAAAGGAGGAUCCCUAGGUCGGUCUGACUCCCUCUGACUCAGUGUGAGGCCGGUGGCUGUAGCCCUUCUCUGAGCCUCGACUUCUUUCAACUGCACCACUGCGAUGAUAAUGACACGGUUAGGUUGUCAUGAUCUACGGGAUGUAAUGUAUGCAAAGCCCUUAGCACAGUGCCUGGUUCAUUGUAAGUGCUCAAUAAUUGAUCUUGGCAAUGACACUGCUAAUUACUGUUAUAACCAUAAUAAUUAUCAGGGGAGACCUGCUCACAAUUUUCAGUCCCCAGCAGAACCACAGAGACCAGCUUGGUCCAGUCAGGGAGAAUUCAGAGGGAGUGCCCCUUAUUCCUGUUCCCUUUAUCUUGGCCACUGAUGUCACCUGUUCUCAGGCCCUGCAGGUCCUCUCAUGUUCAAAGUGAAAGGUAAAGGGUCAAAGAGAAGAAAGAUAACCUGCUGCAGGGAGGACAGUGAGAGACACAUCCAUGCCUCAUAGAAAGGUGGCAUUUGAGCUAGACCUUGCUAUCAGAUUGGAGCUUCCCAUGCCAGGAUGGCAUUGAUGAUGGAAGGGAGGAGUCUGGGCCAGGGUUUGGAGGCAGAAAAACUGUUCUUCCUUUCAGGUAGGCAGAAAAAAGAGUGGCUCAUUUUGACCAUAGUGAAGAGUUUGCCGUGGGAGGGUGGGGACAGGCCGUGGCUAGAUCAUGGAUGACAGGGCAGGGGAGCCUGCUCUUCGCCUGGGGUGAUGGGGAGCCAAGACUGUUUCUGAGCAAGGGAGGACCAUCCUCAGAGCUGGGCUUCAGGAAGAUGGCUCUAUCAGCCUGCGUUCACGCAAGAGACUGGGAGAUCUGCCCGGAAACCACUAGAGUGGCUGAGGCCAAGGAUGCUGAGGCCUCGCCUGAGGCAGUGAGAGUGGGGAGGGUUUCAGAGAUAUUAAGGUCGUAGAAUCAACAAGUCUUGCUAACUACGUAAUUAGAAGUGGUAGGGUUCAGGCAGGACGCAGGGUUGACUCCCAGUUGCUGGGGCAACUGGGUGGUUGAGAUGAAGGAGACUAAGAAUGGAAGAGGCUUGGGGAGUUGACGGUGGGGUAUCUCUGGAUACGUUGAGUUUGCAGAACGCGUGAGUCCUCUCUAUGGGCAUUUGACACUGUAGCUCCAGACUUAGAGGUCUCAGGAGUAGGGAUGGAUAUAUUGAGGCAAUGAUUGUAGCCCCACGUUAGGCUGGUGUGUUGAGGGAAAGCGGGAUGGGGUACAGCUGCUGGUUGUACCUGGUCGAGACAGGCUUGUCUCUCCUCCACUGCCAUCCUCCCUCUCCUCACCUUACACUUCCUUUCUGGCCCUCACUUAGCUGCGUCAUUUUAAGGAACUUGGAAACCAGGCCUCGUGUCUUUAACUUACAAAAUUAUACACUCCAAUGAGCCGGAAAGGGGCUUUUGGAAUAAUUCUAUUGAAAAUAUGUGGGUUUUCGCCUUGAAAUGAUCUUCCUGAAAUUAUCCCCUUUCUCUCUUUAUAAAUAUUAAAAAGAAGGAAUCAAGGCUUAGUACUUUAAAUCCCUAUUCAGGGACUUUCCCUUUUGCCUCCCAGGAAUGCAACCAGUCAUUUUUGAGGAAGAAAAGGAGGAGGCCGGGUUGGUUCCUUUUAACACGACUUCCGCCCUCCACGAAAUCCACUUUUUGGAGGGCCCCUGGCCAAUCCCUCCUCAGCUUUCCCCCUUCAGCUAAGCUGGGAUUUGCUGGAAUAUAAUGGGCCAGUGGGGGGGUGUGGGGGAGAAGGAGGGACUCCAGGAGGGGACGGGAGAGGGAAAGUGGGGAAGGCUGCAAACAGAAAGACGGAGACAGAGACACGGGGAGAGAGAGAGAGAGAUUUUAAAAAAAAGAGGAAGAGAGAAAGAGACAGAGAUGCAGAGAGGUAGAGAGGAGAGACAGAAGGAGAAUAGCCCUAGGAGAGAAGUAUUGCUAAGGAGAAAGAGACAAAGACAGAGAGAGAUGGGCUGAGGAAAGAGACACACAGAGCUAGGGAUAGAGGAUUACAGGGAGAGGUAAAAUACAGGGAAGGAACCCUGGUGGCGAAGUGAUGAAGUGCUUGGCUGCUAACCAAAAGGUCAGUGGUUUGAACCCAGCAGAUGCUCUGCAGGAGAAAGAUGUGGCAGCCUGCCUCUGUAAAGAUUACAGCCUAGGAAACCCUAUGGUGCAGUUGUACUCUGUCCUAUGGGGUCGCUAUGAGUCAGAAUUGACUCGACGGCAAUGGGUUUUUUGGUUUUGGUUUACUGCUCACCAGACACUUGUUAAAUUAGACCCAGGAAGUCCCUGCCCUUGGGGAGCUGAAGUUCUUCUAGCUUAGGGGCUCCAAGCUUUGGCUUUAUAUUGAGUCACCAGGGAGCUUUGAAACUCCUGCUGCCUCAGCCACACCCAGGCAACAAGUAUGGUUUUAAAAUACAGAGAGAGAGAGUAAGAGCGAGCGAGCGAGAGAGAGAGAGAGAGAAAGUAGCAUGCAGAGAGAAAGAAAGAAAAGACAAAGGAGGAGAGAUACUGGGAGCAUGAGGGGAAGGACAGAGACAGAAGCAGAAAAUGCUGCAGACAGGCCCAUGGAAUGGAGGCAAGGAGGGAGCCCCCCACUCCCACCUCUCCCAUAUUGACAGACUGGCUAGAAAAGGGCCUGAGAAAUGUUAAGUCAGAGACUGAAGCAGGGUAAGGACGCUGUGAGGCAGUGGCCCACAGAGAGGAGUCACAGAGACUGGAUGGGCCUGUGUCUCUCUUGGGUUCUAAGCCAGCCCCAUGCGUGCGCACAAUGUGUGGUCUACUUUCUUAGACAAUGAUGCUGAGAUGGAUUACCCAAUAAGCAAGAUACGCACGGGUUUAAUUGUGCUUACUUACUAAUCCGUAGUGCGUGUGUACCUUGCUUACCCUACACUGGUGCAUACUGUGUUUGCUGGUUAAUCCACCCCUGCACUGGUGGAUGGGCUGGAAGCCCUCAUUCCCAGCCUGGCCUCUCUGGUGCCAGCCUCCAUUCUGUGACUUGGGGUUAUUAUGUGUUGGCUACUUUUGGAUACACAAAGGGGAGGGUGAGCAGAGAGGUCAACAGGAACACGGCUCCAGAGACCAGAGUUCAAGCAUUGGCUCCACCAACUAUUGCUCCAUCAACCCACAAGCCAUGGGAUUUAGUCUUCUGAAGCCCUGGUUACCUCAUUUGAGAAACGGGGAUCAUAGCACCUACAUCUUAGAGUGGGUUAUUGUGCCUCUAUGAGACAUCACCUGUGCGGGGCUUAGCACAGCACCUGGAGUAGUACUGCUCAACCUAUUACCAACCAGUUGACGUUGUCCAUCCUGGAGUCCUGGGGCUCACCUAUGAUCUUUCUGUGAGCUCAGAAUUGACUAGCACUGACCCCAGAGACCUGGGUGUAAAACCAUAUCCCACAAGCACCUCGAAAGGGGAAAUCUGCAGAGGGAAGUGAGUAGGAAGUCUUUGUGGCUGGGAGAGUUCCAGAGAAGGCUUUUUCAGGUAGCACGUCAGAUAAGUAAGGGGUGCUGGGUGGGUUUAACUGGUCUCCACCUCCCUGAAAGGGACCGAGUUGCUGGCCCAUGUCUCCUGUGCGACCUCCAGCAGGUUUCAGCCUCUCUCAGGGCUUCUGCCUGCCUGUAUGACCAAGAGGGGCUUGGACUCCAUGUUCUGUAGGGGUCUUUGAGGUCCUAACAUUUGGGGUUCACCUGGUGGGGGGUGGGAGUGUGUCCCCUUCUCCCCACAGCCCUCCCCCCCGACCAUCAAGACUGCAGUGGGAACAGAGGCUGCCGCCUUCUGAAGGAUCUGUCACAAAGCUCGGUGGUUGGUUACCGGUUACCACAUAAGCCAAGCCCUUGAUCUGCCGCAUUUGAGGAAGCCCUUUGUUCCUUUCAAGUCUCUAUUCUUUCAGCCAGGCCUGGUGCACAGACCGAAGUACUGCAUUUUCUCUUUCUUCCUUUUCUUUUUGGAUUUUUAAAAAUAACUGGCUUGUGCAUUCAGGCAGUGUUCCAGAAUUGAGUUCCCAGGCCGGGGUUCAGGGCGAGACACUCCAGCAGCCCCCAGUCCUGGGAAGGCCCAGUGGGAAGGGAAAGCCUAAAGACAGACUGUUGUUAUUAGUUGCUGAUGAGUUGAUUCCAACUCAUGGCGACCCCAUGUGUGCAGAAUGGAACUACUCCAUAGGGUUUUCAAGGCUGUGACUUUUGGAAGCGAAUUGCCAGACCUGUCUUCUGAGGUGCCUCUGGGUAGGUUUCGAAUGCCAACCUUCUGGCCAGUAGUCAAGAGCUUAACUGUUUGCACCACCCAGGGACUCCAGAGACUGGGGGAGGGGCAGUAAACAGAUGGCAGAGAGAGAGAGAGAGACUCAGAAAUGAACACAGACACAGCAAGGCAAGGCUGAAGAGCAUACACAGAACAAUGGGGUUUAAAUUCUGGCUCCAGCGCCGCCAUGCUGGGCCUCACCGGAGUGCUCCCAUUCCCUUUCUGGCCUUCCAUAGUCUGAAGUAUAAGACGAGAGGCCAUUACAGUGUUGGCCGCCUCCCUCCAUUGCUGGGCCCAUGCCAGAUAUUGCUAAUCAAUCGCCAUUCCCUGUGGAGCUGGAUGAGCCCUGAGAGUCCUUUUCGACACAGUGCUCUGGGCACCUACUGCUUAUUGGAUUUGCAUGCAAAGUAAGACCCACCUCACCCUAGGGCAAGAUAUCUCCAAAGGACCAGGGUGAAGUAGGUACUCAAUAAAUGUUUGUUGAACUAAUGGAUUUUUUUUUCAGCCCUUACUACAUGGCAGGCAUUGUUGGAAGUACUGGUCUAAGUACGAACAAAAUAAAGUUCCUGACCUCAAUCUAACAUGUGGGGGAGACAGGCAAUAAGCAAAUAAGCAGGUGUGAUCAGUGCCAUGAAGAAAAAUGAACCAGGGUAAAGCAGUAGACAGUGACAGACUGUGGGCAUGGAUACAUUUUGGAAAGAUGGUCAGAGAAAGUCUUCUGAGGAGGUGACACUAGAGCAGAGAACUCAGCAAAGUAAGACAGUCUCUUAAGAUUCCCUAAUUCCAAGACUUAGAGAAAAAUUUUCUUUUGACUCAGAAUCCAAUUUCCGUUGAAUAAGAUUCUGGAAUUUCAUGCAUUUAGAGGCCUAUAUCGAAAAUUGGAGUCCUGGUGGUGCAAUGGUUAAGAGCUAGGCUGCUAACCAAAAGGUUGCCAAUUCGAAUCCACCAGCUGCUUCUUGGAAACGCUAUGGGGGCAGUUCUACUCGGUCCUAUAGGGUUGCUAUGAGCUGGAACUGACUCAAAGGCACAUAACAACAAUAACAUAUUCAAAAUUAUAGAUUUUCUCUGCUCUCACUUUCCAUGACAAUGAUUCUAGAAUUCUGUGACUCUGAAAUUCUAGGAUUCACUGAAGCAUCUUUUUACUUGAAUAGACCAAGAUUCAUUGCCUACCCUCUCCCCACUACCCUUAGGAAGUGGAUCCAAAAAUAGAAGCCGUCAAAACAACCACCAUUCCAGCUCUAAGUGCCAUAGUAAACAAAUGGCUCAAUGUUUCUCUCAUGGUUUAAUUGCUGCAGUUCCAGACAAGCUCAUUCACGAAGGAUCUUCUGGUGAUGGAGAGGAGGGGUGGGCAGCCCUUCAUUUCUCUGACUAGCCCAGCUCAGAGGAUGACCCCAGGAGUUUCAGUGCCUUUCAACUGCACCGUUGGCCCCUUUGGCUCCAGGGACUAUAAUGUCACCUGUUUGAAGGGCAGAGAGGAGCAUCCAGCCUCAGCUCAGUGCCUGGCAGCUGAGGAGAAAGGCCAUUACUCCAUCACCAGCCAGACAUGGUGACAAUGACCCAGCAAGAUGUCACAUCCAAGAUCACCUGUGAAGCUACCCAUAGGACCUUAGCAGAGCCCCUGCAAGAGACCACGAAUCUCUCCAAAGUGCUCCAAGAUCAUUGCCAAGCCCUCUGUGAACGAAGUCCAUGCACACAAACAAGUGAAUCUCACCUGCCAAGUGGACCGCUUCUACCCCUCUACCCUGCACCUCACCUGAACGGAGAAUGGUUACGUCAUCCUGACCGUGGAGUCUCCCCAGGUUACGAGAAACCCAGAUGGGACGUACUCUCUGAAGCACGUGUUGCUGGCAGAGACCAAGCGAUCCAGGCCAGCCACAAGCAUCCGAUGUGACCUGGCUGAAAAACAGCCUCGAACUCCCAGAGACCCGGACCAGCAUCCUCCCUUUCGGGAACACCUUCAAUAUGAGCAGCAAUGUGCUUGUCCCACUGAAGGAGGACGACAUACUUGCUCUCCGCCACUGCCGCAUCAAGUACAACUCGGCUCUGGCUUUCCAGAAAACCAUCAGCCUGGACCAGCACCUCCAGGUGACAGUGUCCCAGUCUUCAGUCUCCUCGGAUUUGGUGGCUAUUACCUGCCAUGUUCAGAGAUUCUAUCCACAGACCGUGCAUUUCACCUGCCUCUCAUGCUGCCACCCCCACCUCCACCGUGAACAUGCUGCUUUCUGUUCACCUUCCUGACAUUCCUUACUUAGCACUUUUGAGCUGAGUCAAGGGUGGUGAUGGCUAUGGACUUUGGUCAAUGGGAGUCAGGGAGGUCUGGAUGAUGCCUUCACUGAGCUUCAAACUGGCCCUGCCUCCACACGAAGAGAAUCAAGCAGACCCAGAAAUUGGGCUUCCAUUCAGCCUCCGAUCAUGAACAACUUGCCGAACGAUUUUCACUUUUAUCCAUAGGCUUUGCAAGUAUUAUUACAUUUUAAUACAUAUUUUGAAAUCACUGGUAAGCUGAAUAGGAAUUUUUCUGUUCUGAAUGAUUUCAAGCAUACUAAAAAGUAUAAAGAAUAGUAUAAUAAAUAUCCAUGUGCCUACCAUCCUAUCUGUGCAAAAUAUUAACACUUUGCUGUUAAGUUCUUCAAUUCCUUUUGUAAAUUGCUGUGUUGAAUUUUGUGUUUGUCAUUCCCAAGCAUGAUUUUGUACUUUUAUAACAUAGGUGUAAAUCCUUAAGCAAUAUAUGAUUUUAUUUGAUAUGUUUUAGAUUUUAUAUAAAUGUUAUUGUACUGUAUACAGCAUUACAGAAUUUUAUUUUAUUUUUUCUGCUGAACAGAUUUUGAGAUUUAUUCAUGUUGAUACAUGUGGCUCCAUUUUAUUAUUUUCUUCACUGCUUUAUGGUCUUUGAUUGUAAGAAUAUGCCACAAAUUAUUGGUUCUUCUUGUGAUGGAUAUGAAAGCUUUUUGCUAUGUUUUGCUAGUACAGUUUUGACACAUCCAUUCUUAAGCUGGUUUCCAUGGGCACAUGUGGGAGAAUCUCUCUAGUUCCUCUAGUGCGGGCCUCACAGCUGCAGAGAGGCACAAAAAGAAGGUUUCAAAUUUUGCCUUUACAUUUAUGGCUUUAAUCUACCUAGAUUUUUCUGGUAUGAAUGUAUAUGUGUGUGUGUGUAUGAGACAGAGAGAGAGAAAUAAGUGGAAGGGGUCUUUUUUAUUUAUUUUUUUUCUAAAAGGAUAAAUUACCCAGCACUCACUGGUAUGUACUGCUACUUUGCCAUAUAGCAAGCUUCCAUAAAUUUGUGGGUAAUUUCAUGAGCUCUUUAUUUAUUCAACUGAUCUACUUCUCCCUUUGCCAAUACAACACUGUCUUAAUUAGAGUGUUCUUGUUAGCUUCUGUUAAGUUGGCUCCCCCAUGGCAACUUCAUGUACGACAGAGGGGAACUGCCUCAUCUUGCCCCAUACUGUUGGUAUGCUCGAGUCCAUUGUUGUGGUCAUUGUGUAUUUUGAAUGCCUUCCAACCCAGGGGGCUUAUCUUCCAGCACUAUAUCAGACAAUAUUCUGGUGUGAACCAUAGGGUUUUCACUGGAUACUUGUUGGCAGUAGAUUGCCAAGCCCUUCUUCCUACUCUGUCUUAGUCUGCAAGUUCUGCUGAAACCUAUGUACCGUGAGUGACCCUGCUGGUAUUUGAAAUACCAGUGGCGUAGCUUCCAGUAUUAGUUGCAGAGAAGUGGCCUUUAUAUUUAAAAGACAGCUUGAUCAGAUAUCAAAUAUUUGGCUCACUUUCUUGUCUCUCGAAUUUCUAAUAGUGUUUGUGUAUUUUUAACAUUGAACAUUGAUUUUACCUAAAAGAGUUGGUGUGAAAAUUUAAUGAGGUUACCCACAUAGAGUGCUCAAAGCAGUAUCUGGAGCAUAAGUCUUCAGUAAGUGAUAGCAGCUACAACUCCUUUAUGUUGUAUAGAGUUGCAUCUAUUGUUUUUAAUUAGAUAUUUAUAACAAUAAUGUCUUCUUUUUCAGUUAUGUAGAUUUGCAGCAGGAAGGGAAGAUUUCACCAUGUGCUCAUGUGCUACAUUGAAAUAGGAUUUGGAUGGGCACAUGGUAACUUUCACAACUUCAUUUGAUAGUUAACCAUGGCAGGUGAGAGACCUGAGGUCCACCAUGGACAGAGUUUCCUAAAGCCAAACCUGUAUUAGCUCUAGACCCUGAAGAAGAAACUAUUUCUUCUGACAAGACGCUGCUGUUUCUAGGGUAUAUUGUGUUGGGGAGAUCUGGUGAUCUCUUCCUGCACACAGAGAAUAAUUACAACCAGAAUUAAUUGGUUAUAAUGAAUUGUGAGCACAGCAUUUUGCAUGGAUUGUUUUAUGUUAUUCCUACCAUGGCUCUACAAGGUGCGUGUUAUUGCCUCCAUUUACAUAGAAUCAAACAGGCUGGAGAAGCCUGGUGUCACAGGAGGAAUCAAACUCAGCAUCUUUCUGAGGCUGAGUCUUCUAGUGAUGGGGAUCUAGAAAUCUGGGAUUUCCUAAGAACAAAUCCCAGACAGAGAGGACUAGAGCAAGCCAGUAAAGGGAAUGUUGACGGGUAGCUUUCAGGAAGAGCAAUGCCAGGCUUUGGACCUCAGUGUGGGCCAGACGUGGACAGGGAUGACUCUCCUUUCCCUUCCACUCUCUGUCCCACUCAGCUCUGGGCGCCCACAGAUACGGGUACAUAGAAGAGCAUGCACCUGCCCCUUAGGCAUCCAUACCUUAACGCCUUGAUGUAUCCAAUCCAAAUGGUACUGCUGAGUUUAAAUAGGAGACAACUAAUGGAGAGCCUCAAGUGGGGCUGCUGCCCGCUCAGUGGAUUAACAAAGGGCAGGAUCCAGAGAGGGAGCAAUUGAUCCUGGAGUGGAAGGGGCUGUCCAGUGAUAAGCUGGGUCCCAGGAGGACCAGAGAACCUGGAGAAAACCACUGGGGAGCAACUGACACCAUGCUGUAAGAACUCAUUCAAAAGCAAUUUUUGAGUUUCCUACUUCAUUUGCACCUUUGUGGUGCAAAAGGUUAAUGAGCUUGGCUGCUAAAGGAAAGUUUGGAGGUUCGAGUCCACUGAGAGGCAUUUCAGAAGAAGGCUUGGUGAUCUAACUUCCAAAAAACCAGCCAUUGAAAACCCUAUAGAGCACAGUUCUACUCUGACAUACUCUAACAUACACCAUGAGUUGGAAUAGAGGUGAUGGCAACUGGUCAGCUGGUUAAUUUGCUUGGUGCCAGAACUAUCAACAAUUACAUAUUGAGUCUCAGGUGUACUACACUCAUGAUCUCCUUUAAUCUCCGCUAAAACACUGCAAGGCAAGACUUCUUAUGAAAUGACAGUUUAGAGAUGACAAGACUGAUCCUGGGGAUGUCUGGCGACGUGCCUAACUCCUUAGAAGGCCCUCUUGGUCUGGACAUUCAUCCUCCCUCUCUCUCCAGUUCCACUCGCACAGAAGUGGUACAUAGAAUAGGUGCAGCACAAAGGGUAGUGACUGUUCCCUCCCCCAGGAAUCUGCUCACCAUUUGCUCCUCCCAUCACAACCCUGUCCCCUCUUCAUAACCCAUAAUCCCCACCUCACCCCAUAAAGCAGAUAUUUGUUAACCUUAACCCACCUCCUCUCCUUGGAGCCAGGAAAGGAUUCCUUUGUGGGUUCAGGGGCAUGCAAUUUCUGAGGUCCACAUUAGACUGUGCCUUUGGGCUAAGCUUUACCAGUGACAUCAGUAAAGGGUAGGAACCAAGCAGACCUGGGUCCACUUCAACGUUGGCCAGGUUCUAGAGAGCCCUCCUCCUCCCUCCAGCAGGGUAGUUCUUGGUUGAAAAUGGUACAAAAUGAGAUCAUAGUCAGCCAUAUCCUAUGGUCCUGGGCCUGGGAGUUUGGGGAACAACCCACAACCACAGGUCCUUCUUGGCCUGGGGCUUCUGAAUGGAGACCUCAAAAUGAGAUGAGGAGCCAAGCAGAGAGAGCACAGGCCCCAAGAAGGGGAGGAAGCAUUAUUUCUUCUAGGCCUGUCCAAGCUUCUCGAAUAUUUACUAUGAGUCACUCCUCACCUCAAAUGACCUUAUCUGCCUGCUUUUUAUUUCACAAUCUAGAAGAGGUGUCGUCUCAUGGACAUUUUCCUCUUAGGUCAAAGCUACUUCCUCUUAGAUUGCAGGAGGCAGGGCUUCUCUUCUCUCUGCAGAGCACAGCCCAGGCCUCCCCAACACAGACAUUGGCACAGAGCAGACCUCGUGGCCUCCAGGAUGCCCAUUCCUGCCUCCCAGCCCCACCAGCCUCUGCUCUCCCUGCUGCUGACUCUGCUGCUGGGACUUACAGGAACAUCACCCCAGAAGAUGCCGACAUCUACUUCUGUGUCAAGUUUGGGAAAGGGAGCCCUGACAUGGAGUUUAAGUCUGGUCCCAGGACAAAGGUGACUGUGAGUGAUCAGGGAGCUGAGGGCUGCAGGCAUGCUAUUUGCUCAAGUCCCCGCAGCUGAUAAAAGGUGGAAAAAAGUCUGGAAACCUAGUCAGCCUGGAUCUAAACGCUUGCCUUUCCCAAUCUGGUCCCCGUAGAUGUGGGAACUGACAGUUUGGGUGACUUGCCAAGUCACAGGGACAAACCUCGGCUCCUGUCCCCAGAUUCUUCCCCUGCAUUGUGGUCGUGUCUUCUCUUACUCAACAAACACUUGCUGAGGACCUACUGUGUGCCAGGCUCUGCUCUCAUUGGAAACAGGCAAGGAACAAAGUGGGCAAAGGCUCUCCUCCCAGAAAGCUUCCAUUCUCUUCCCCUCCGAGGAGAGGGUUGGUCCUGGGCAGAGAUUGCCUUGUGGAUUCAAUCUGCUGAUCUUUUGGUUAGCAGCUGAACUCUUAGCCACUAUACCACCAGGGUUUCCAUAAUAAUCCUUGAUCCGCCAACAAAAUGUCUGAAAUUUCAUUUGCCAUGGUACGUUAACCGUGAGUAACUGCAAAAAAUACAGACUUUGCUGCUAGCUCUUCAGUUCACAGAUCACUGCAUAAAUACAGAUGCACACCAAGAUCAGCAACGAACCACAUGACUUCUUUCAAAGUUCAGCUGAUCUUAGGAGGGAGAGAGGGAUUGGCCCAAUCAAUCAUGACCAUGAAAUGAAGUCAACAAAAGCUUGGGACACAGAAGUUCCACAGGCUUCCUGGUUGGUGAAAGACAUCGCUGCUCGUGGGAUGGCAGCACAUCCGUUUUGGGGACACAGAGCUCUACGCUGGGAACCCACCUAGACCUUGCCCUACAUAUCUCUUUAUUUAUAUCCUUUUUUGCUAUGAUAAAGCUGUAGUCAUAAAUAUAGCACUUUUUGUGAGUUCUAUGAGUUGUUCCAGCAAAUUAUCAAACCCAAAGGAGUAGUGAGAGCCAAAAGAUUAGUAGUGAGGGAGCCCAGGGGACACCGAACCUUGUAGCUGGCAUCCUAAAGGGGUAGAAGAAAACCUUGAAUUUGUAGCCAGCAGGUCAGAAGUGAGGGUGUUGUGUGGACUCUUGAACUUUUGGCUAGAAUCUGCCUAUUCGGCAGUCUGAAGAACAAGUACCCUUUUCACUUGUGAGAUCUGACCUAGGUCCAGGUGGGGAUCAGAGAAAGAAGUGAUGUGUGGGCAGCUGGUGUCAGAACUGAAUAGAGAAGUGGAAAAGUGGAUAUUUUAUGCUUGAGAUUUUGAGAUUUAUGGACACAAUAUCAUAUUCCUGUAAAUAAGACCGGCCAUUAGAGAUGAUUGUUAAAGCUACAUAAUGGUACCUGAGAAUCUAUUUUUACUAUGCUGUCUAAUUUUGUAUGUUUAAAAAGUUCAAUAAUUAAAAAGGAAAAAGAUGCCCAGUAUACCCAAUGGUAUUGUUAGAUAGUAUUUAUGCGGUCAUGCAGUGAAAUUUAAUGGUAGAUUUAGAAAAUUUAAUAAUCUCAGUUUUUCCCAAAAAUAUUCCUCAUGUCUUAGAGUUUCCUGGAUUCUUAACGUUAUUCUAGGGUAUGUUUUUCAAUAAGAAAAAUAAAAUGUAAAAAUUCAGAAGCUAUUCUAAAACACCUAAUAUGGUACCUGACAUGAAGGCAUGAAAUGCCUAAAUGUUGAUUGCCUUCUCCCUUCUCAAGACAAAGAAUAUAUGCCUAUUCUCUGGUGAACGAGCCAGCACAUUAGAAAAAUAAGGUAAUUCCAACUCAUCACUAUUUUGGGCUUCCUCUUCUUCUCUUGGUGCCAGUCAGUAUCCUUAGAAGACAAACCUAAGGGAAGAAAGAGAAGCUGUGAGAAAGCAGACCUCCUGUAAUGCUCCCAGAGUAGCUCUUCUGAGCCAUGGAAUGGAAGGAAGCACCCACUUUACUCAGCUGUGGCCCCUAAAGCAUUCUCACCCCAACCUGAAGUCUUGAUAAUACCCCUCUUCACCUUUCCAGACUCCAACAACUCUCAUCUUUUGCUUUACGUUUUUGAGUCAGUUUCUUCCUGGUCUCAAUAUCCUCCCUGUUCUUUGAAGCCAAAAUCUUCUCCCAGUCCUCAGUCUUUGGGCAGAAGGAUCAGGCAAAGUAAUGACUCCAGAGUCAGUGUAGCGACUGCCUUGAAAUUCUGCCAUAGGGCCAGUUGUAAGUUAUUUCAUCUCAAGACGGAUUUCUGCUGCCUGGGGUGACUUUUUCAAAUCUCAGUUAUAAAAUCCCCUCUUGUCUCCCUGCAUCCAGGACCUGUGUGAUGGAGAAGCAACUUGAUGCUGCUGGGUCCUUUCUUGUGUGUUCUAAACUCAUGCAUCUUCAGCAGGGAUCCUGUGCGCUCACACUCACCUCAUUCAACAAUCACAGAGUCUCAGUCUACUCGGGUUCUCUGGAUUUUUUUUACCUUUAUUCAUUUCUGGCUUAUAAGCCCUUGAGUCUGUUCCGUGACACUCUCCCUUACCUAUCAAAAUUUACUGCGCUGCUCUUGCAUCCACAUCUCAGAUUCAAGCUCCAUGUUCCAGAUCAAUUUCUGCUACCUGAGUCAGAGAAAAGAGAAUACAGCCUAAUGCAUGUGGAGGAUGAACCUACUCUAAUAUCUCUUUCCAGACCAAUUAGGGCAUGCAGCAGUCAGCUUCUGACUCCCCUGGGCCAGGGUUGCAGCUCUGUUCAAUUCUCUAUGUCUCUGUACUCUGAGGAGUUUGGGGGUCUGAACUGAGUCCCUCCAGGUCUCACAAUGACUUCUACAAAGAUAACACCACACCUUCAUGUGGUCCAGAGGAGGGAGGUGGUAGGAGCUAUGACACCUUUAGAAGCUCCUCAGACACCCUGGCCAGGAUUUUAGCAGGUAUGACUUCAGUCCUACUGCUGCCUUGUUGCUGUUGUUAGCUGCCGUUGAGUCUAUUCCAACUAAUGGUGACCUCAUGUGUGGAGAGUAGACUGCUCCAUAGGGUUUUCAAGGCUGUGACCUUUUGGAAGCAAACUGUCAGGCCUGUCUUCUGAAGAGCCCCUGGGUGGGUGCGAACUGCCAACCUUUCAGCUGUCAAAAGCUUAACUGUCUGUACUACCCAGGGAAUCCUUACUGCUGCCUACCAAGGCUAGCUGGGGUUCCCCUAAGACACUCUCCUAACUCAUCCCCCAACACUGUAGGCAGAGCUGCUCACACCCUCUUCUGUCCAGCCUGAACAUGUCACCUUAUUCAAACCAUAUUGCAAUUUUUCUACUUAAAUGUCUGUUUUUACCAGAAUAUGAACUUCUGGUAAGAAGAAAUGCAUCUUAGUCAUUUUGUUAAUCCUAGUGAUUAGCAGGCUUUUGUGGCAUAUUUUAUCAUUUCCCCUUACUAUCUGCUUCUCCAUAAAAGGAUUAUACUUCCCUGCUCUUGAUAUCAAGCUUGACCUAUGACUUCCCUUGGGCAAUGCGUGUGAGUAAAACUGACAGUGCGAUUUCUAAGGAUUGCGUGACUCCGUCCUCUCUCUUGUUCUUUUUCCUCUGCCAUGACAGCAACAUGUUCCCAAAGGGAGGGCUCUCCUUCGGCCUUGGUUCUGGUGUAAGUCAUGGUGUAGAGCUAAAACCAACCUACGAAGGAUGAGGAAUAUGGCUGGGUUUCAGGUUAGAUCGCUGUGAGUUUUGGGGGUCAUGUGUUAUUGUAGUACAACUUAGCCUAAGCUGAUAAUUAUAGCUCUCCUCCUCCUUGUAGUGCUAGUAUCAGUAACUAAGCAGGUGCUGUACUAAACAGGUAACAAAGAGCCCCAGUGGCACAGUGGAUAAGAGCUCAGGCUGCUAACCAAAAGGUUGGCAGUUCGAAUCCACCAGCUGCUCCUUGGAAACCCUAUGGGGCAGUUCUACUCUGUCCUAUAGGGUCAAUAUGAGUUGCAAUUGACUUGAUGGCAAUGAGUUUGGUUUGAGUUUUAGUACUAAACAGAGUUCCAGUAAUCUUCAUAACAUAGCCAAAGUGUAGACUCCACUAUUAUGCCCAUUUCACAGAGAAGAAAACUGAGGCAUUAAAAAGUUGGUUUAUUUGUCCCUAAAAUCAUAUAUAGAUAUCAGGUUUUAGUGCCAAGGCUAGAAUGCGAAAUUUUCAUUCCAAAACCCCUUUUCUUCACCAAUGCGUAAAAUAAAGACCACUGAAAAAAUGAUUACAUGAAAAAGUAGAGUGACCAGAUGUCCGCAGAAUUCAAAACUCAUGCUGAAGAAGGCAGGACUCUCAGAGUGAAGUGGACGAAAAGUUCGUUCUGUAGGGUGAUAACUAAAAGAAGCUUUGACUAACAUGCUCGCGCUAGGGUUCCCUAACUAAUAUUUGCACUUCUCUGUAUUUGUACAUGAAGUUUCUGGGGAUGCAUUAGGUGUUCUUACACAGAAACACGGAAGAUGAAAUAGUCCUGUCGGUCAUUACAGCUUGCAGCUGGACCAUGUGGUUAAAGCCUGUGCCCCAUUCUCAGGGCCAUAGCUGCUACUGCAAGACUGGUAGAAACUACUGCAGAUAUAAUUUUAUGGAACUUUUUAGAUAUAUAUAGGUACCCCAUGUUGUGUCUGCUUUACUUCAUUUGGCUUUAACUCAACAUUUAUCUGCCAGCAGACUCACCUCCUAUGAGGUCUUUCUUCUGGCAGCUUCAAAUAUUAGACUACAUACUGUGGCUACUUUAAACCCAGCAACUCUUCUCUCUGUACCUGAUAAAGACAAUUGUCCUUACUAUGACUGUUUAGCUCUAACUGAGCAGCUUUUGACUCCCUAUAAUGCCUUAAAGGAAACUCCUUAAACAAACCCUGAUAUGGUGUUAUUUGUAGAUGGCUUGUAUUUAAAACCAACUCCUGACUGUCAUUAUCAGGCUGGCUACACUGUUACAACUUCUCAUGAUGUCUUUGAAAGCCAGUCACUUCCCAAAGCCACUUCAGCCCAACAAGCUGAACUUAUUGCUCUGACUACAAAAAACCCACUGCUCUUGAGUCGAUUCCAACUCAUAGCUACCCUAUAGAACAGAGUAGAACUGCCACAUAGAGUUUCCAGGGAGUGCCUGGCAGAUUUGAACUGCCGACCUCUUGGUUAGCAGCCCUGGCACUUAACCACUAUUGCUGUUCUAAAGCCCACAAAUUUGCUGAAGGGAAGUCCAUAAGUAUUUUUACAGAUUCUAAAUAUGAAUCCGGAGUCAUUAAUGAUUUUAGAAUCUUAUGGGAACAGGGUUUUUAACCUCUUCUGGUAACACUAUUAAAAAUGGGGCUUUAGUAACAGGCAUUUUAGAUGCCUUGUUGCAAAGGGAGUUCCAAAGGGAGUGCCUCAAACUGAACAAAUUAGAGGAAAUAACCUUGUUGGUGCAGCUGCUAAACAGGCUGCCUCCCAAAUUAUUGUUGCCCCUGUUAUAACAAAGGAAUUUAUAGAGGGGCCUCUAGAAGAACCUAUGGAGAACUAUUCCAAUGAAAUAACUAGUAUUUUUAAACCCACCAAAGAAAAGCUUUUAAGACAUCAGCAAUUAGCUCAGUCAGAUGAAAUUGGAACAUGGAAAAAGUCAGACUGUUACCAAGACCAUGACACCAAAUUAUGGUUACAGCCUGACACUAAAAUUUUUCUCCCUAAACUUUUUUGUGUCCCUAUGAUGAGGUCUCUACAUGAGAACACUCAUCUAGGAAGAGAUAAAAUGAUGGUAAUUUUAAAGAAAUACUGGAGGGGAAUAUUUUAUGAGGCAGCUGAGCAUGUGGACUCUUAUUCUGUUUAUCCUCACUAUAACCCUGGGAAACAUCUUAACACUUUACCUGGGGAAUACCCUUUGCCCUCUGGAGCUAUGCCUGAAUGGCUACUAGAUUUUAUCCAGCUUUGACCUUCCAAUGGUUAUAAAUUUGUCUUAGUAACGAUUUGUAGGUUUUCACAUUGGGUAGCUUGCCAAGCUUUCCAAAUCCUUAGGUUUGUCUUGGACUAAAGUUCUGUCUUCAGUCCUUCUAAAUUUAAGGAGCAUUAUUCCUUUUGGGUUUCAUAAACUCACUCCUUAUGGUAUCUGUUACUGAAAGGCCUAUGAUCCUACCUUACAUUACCUCUACCGACUCUAACUUAGUACAACCUGAAUUAUCAGAAUAUUGUCAACACAGUACUCUAAGAAAUACACAUACAUAUAUUUUUUCUUUACAAAUUAAAGAAGUAUUUGAGGAGCAAAACCCGAUUCCCCUUCUCUACUUGAUAUUAACCCAGAAGACUAUGUUUAUUGAAAAGGACACUAACGAAAAGAUUCUUUGGAACCUCUCUGGAAGGGACCUUUUCUAGUUCUUUUAACUAAUCCUUAUGCAGCGAAACUAGAAGGAAUUAACCCUUGAAUUCAUUUAUCACAGUUAAAGAAAACUAAAGGACUUAUCUGGACUUGCCAGCCAACGGGAGAUUUGAGAUUCCGGUUGAAACGCCUCAGUGACCAGAAGCUGGCAACUUCAGAAGCAGGUAGCUGAUUUCAAGAUUGAGGAACAAGAUUACAUGCAAGCUGCUGAUAUUUGUGUACUCUAUUUCCUAACUGCUGGUAUUUUAAUAGUUUUUGUUUCCAAUUGCCAAUCUGGCACAAAGGGUCCUUGUCUUUUCCCAAGUAAGAAUACAUGUGAAAGACAAACUUUACCUUCAGCAGGCUUUAUUUUGCUUGAGUCAAGCAAAAGGAGUCAGCAAGGAUCUAAGCCUCUCUAAAAGACUGACUUGAAAAGGGAAGCAAGGCUAGGGCUUAUAUGGGUUCAGUGGAGACAACAGAGUAAUGAAUAUUUAGUGGGCUUCUUUCAAGGGGUGGGUACUUCUCAGAAUGACAGUGUAUGUUAAUUAGGUUGCACACGCAUCUGGAAUCUAAGAUGGAACCCACUGAUAUUCAAGAGGGAGUCUUCUUGGCAGCCCUUGGCAUCACUUAUUAUGGAAUAUAGCACAAGUGCACUUGAUCUUUGGCACUACAUCGCCAUCUUCAGAGGGCUAAAGAAAGUUAAACAGCGGCCACGCUUUGUUCUUUUGUGCAUGCAGAGCCUGUAAAGGAAGAGGGGACUAGAAAAACACUAAGAAAGAGAUAGUAAUUCAUGAGUUGUUUCAAUCUCAUGUUGACAGGGUGGGUUCCUUUUACCCAGCUUUUAGGGUAAUCUUUUAACAGCUCUUUUGUUCCACCAGCACAGUUAACCCCAUCUGUCUCACAACAGGGUAUGGUUCUUGUUUACCAACUUCUAGAUGAUAAUCUUUUUACAGCUCUUUUGUUCAGCCACCGGCCCAGUUAACCCUAUGCCAGUUUUGACAGUUUUUGCACACUUGUGGAAUUAUUUCCUAAUGACUUUGGUCAUAAUCAAAUACUUUUAACCCUAACCUAGUCAAGUUGAACAUUUAUUGAAAUUAUUGCGCAUUGUUUAAUGAUUAUACCCUUUGAAACAAGUUUUGUUUUACUAACUUAGGCUCAUCUCCUAAUAUAAUAUCUUAUAAUUUCUGACUAACCUAUUGUCUUAGUCAUCUGGUGCUGCUAUAACAGAAAUACCACAAGUGGAUCGCUUUAACAAAGAAAAGUUUAUUCUCUCACUGUCUAGUAGGCUACAAGUUCAAAUGCAGGGCAUCGGGUCUAGGGGAAGGCUUUCUCUCUCUGUUGGCUCUGGAGGAAGGUCCUUGUCUUCAGUCUUCCCUUGACCUAGGACCAUCUCAGCACAGGAACCUUAAGGUUCAAAGGACAAGCCCUGCUCCUGGCACUGCUUUCUUGGUGGUAUGAGGUCUCCAACUCUCUCCUUAUUUCCCUUUUCUUUUAUCUCUUGAGAGAUAAAAGGUGGAGUAGGCCACAACCCAGGGAAACUCCCUUUACAUUGGAUCAGGGAUGUGACCUGGUAAUGAUGUUACAAUCCCGCCCUAAUCCUCUUUAACAUAAAAUUACAAUCACAAAAUGGAGGACAAUACAGAAUACUGGGAAUGAUGACCUAACCAAGUUAAUACACACAUUUUUGGGGGGACAUAAUUCAAUCCAUGACACCUAUUCUCCAUUAUGAAAUUUUUAGUAAGCAUUCUCUUUCUGUUUAUUAUAACCAUUGCUGAUGCUUGAAACAAAAGUUUUUCUUUUUUUAAUCAAAUUAAUCAGUAGCCAGUCCCAGCAAUUUAAAUGAAUGCUGGGUAUAUCACUCUUCCCCUCAGUCUACACAGGACCAUACUGAUCCACUUGCUGUACCAGUCUUAGAUCAUAAAUUCACAUCUAAUUUUUCUAUUCAUUUUGAAAAACUGUUUAAACAGACUAUUUGUGUCAAAUUAUGGCUCCCUCCAGAAUUGUCCACCUAUCCAUCAAUUCUGUUUCAAUUUUACUCGUGCCUGGUUAGAAUGUUUUAUUCUUUCUCCAACUUGUAACAUUUUUUAUUAAUGACGCUUGAUAUUAUUCCACAAUAGCAGAUCACUAUUUCAAAAAUGAUCAAAAUCUUCCAGUUUGUGCCCAACUCUGGGAUCCCCUAAAAUUUGGAGAAAUGCCCAUUUGUGAAGAUUUAUUCACUGUGGACUGGCCUGAGAGAGUCAAUCAGUCCAUUCCAUUUCCUAAUAUUUACACUGGGCGGGUAUUUUAUGUUCCUCAUCUGGAUAUGUCUUUUUAUGUGAAGCACCAACUUAUUCAGGAAAAAAAGUCCUUGCCAUAUUUAGAUGGUUGGGAUAUGUUAAGCCAAUGCACCUUAGGUACACUUGAUGUUCUCAUGAGUACCCAUUCAUACAGCAACAGCUUACUAUGGAACAAUGACUUGAAAUUAAUAUUCAUAUGGAAGAGAGAACUUAUCCUCUCAAAUAAUCAUGUUGCCCAUAGGCUUGGGUGGGACCAGUCAUUUCUUUGAGUGCUUGUUCCUUCCUUUGGUAUAUUACAAUUAGAACAAUCUGUUCUAAAUCUAUCUGCCACUAUGGCUCAAAUUGCUGAGAGUGUUGCUAAUGGAGUGACAGCUCAAUAGAAAUGCUUAGAUUCUUUUGUUACAGUUGUCUUAGAUCACUGAAUAUCCCUUGAUUUUCUCCUUGUUCAACAAGGAGGAAUUUGUGCUAUUGCUAAUACAUCUUGAUGUUCAUAGAUAUACACCUCUGAAGAAGCAGAACAAGACGUCCUUUAAAUAUGUCAAAAGGCCUUCUGGUUACAUACCAUCCCCCAUAUGACCAUACCUCCCUUCUUCGACAUUUUUAGCUGGUUACUGCAAAACAUCAGAUCUAGGAUACUCUUCUUUCUACUAGCCUGCCUACUACUUUUAAUCACUGUGACUGUUAUUAUAAAACUUGUUAAAUACAUUAUGCAUACGUUUCUUAUUGGCAUAGCCAGCCCUCAAGACAUCUAGCCAUGGAAAGAAUCAUGUAUUUAGAAGAAACUAAUUUUGCUAGGGUUUGGUUUUUCUUUUUUAGUUUUUAAUUUUGCUAAGGAGAAUGAAAUUUAGUUCUGGGAUCACAUCUUUUUGGAAUGCCAAGUUGUUCCUCUAAUGUGGUUCUGUUCGCAACACCCUCCCCCAUGAAAACCAACUCACCCUGAAGAUGAGGCCUGAAGCAAUAGCAAGGUAACAGUGAAUGGUUACCUCUAAUAAAAUAGCUGGCAUCUGAGGCCUCAAACGCUCAAAUAGAGCAGCCAUCCUGGAGAUAUUAAAUCCUUGCAGAAAAUGGAUGACUCCUCUGUGGUGAUCUGCACCCCCUAGUGACGGCUUGAUCCAAAGGGGGAGAUAAGUAAGCAGUUAGCAUGACUCAAACAGCUGUCCCAGAUCUAAAUUAAACUCCAUUUUGAAUCAAACUGCAGCUUGGACUAAAAUCUCUGUUUCUACCACUCUGAAAAGAUAAUUCAGCUUCUUGUAAAAGUUUGACUGGCUGUAAACCAAAAGGAGCAAGGGUGAAUAUUUUGGCUUGUGUGAGGAAUUGUUUGUUAAAUGAUAUUUGUCGAGAGUGUUUGCAUGGCUUCGUCCAAGAAGAAUGCUUUGCUGAACAAGUUGCAGGAGGUUAGAAAACGGAAAUGUUAACAUUAAGAAGAAUUGUAGUUUAAAACCUCCUUGUAACUUUUUGUCAUGUAUCCCCCUUGUGCCUGUGAGCAUGUAGGCCUUUGUUUAUUCCAUCUGAUAAAAACCUCACUGAUUCUGUAAUUUGGGACAUAGUAUCCUGUCUAGGGAAACCCUGGUGGCAUAGUGGUUAAGUGCUACAGCUGUUAAACAAGAGGUCAGCAGUUCGAAUCUGCGAGGCACUCCUUGGAAACUCUACGGGGCAGUUCUAUUCUGUCCUAUAGAGUCACUAUGAGUCAGAAUCGACUUGACAGCAGUGGGUUUGGUGUUGGGUUUUUGGUAUCCUGUCUAGAUGCUAUUCUGUCUCCCAAUUCACGAAUCUCUCCAUCUUUUGAUAAAACUCUUUGUUUAAUUUCUAACAGAGAGUCACACUAUUGCUUUGCUAUGAGAAAAUGUAAAUUAAAUAUAUAUGUCACUAGUUUAUAAAAUACUUCAAGGAUGAAAAUCUAUCUGUGGCUAUAAAGCAUAAUAUGAAAUCUGUGGAAAACAAACAUUAUAAGCACAAGUUGCAUCAUAAAAUUCUAUAUCUCAACAAUAUACCACGUAUUUGAUCUUCUAUUAGUUCCAUUUUAUUAUAAUAGUCUUAGACAUGGCAAAUGACAUAGUUUAUGUAGGGCAUCCAGAUUAUUAUUACUUUCCACUUUUUUUUUAAGUCCAUUGUGACAAAUCUAUUUCUUCAUAAGAAUAAACAGAGAUGUACACUUGGUGGGAAGGGAGAUGCCAUGUGAGGAUUGUCUACAAGCCAAGGAACAAAGAAACGCCCAGGACUACAUAAAAGGAAGGAAUUGACACUAUUAAUUAUUGAGUUUGGGCAGAGUCAGAGGUAGGCAAUAAGAAAGGGCCCUUUUCAGUAGGUAGUGGCAUAAUCAUUGUUACCUCAGAGGAACAAGUCAAAAGGCAAGGUGAAGGGUAAACUGAAAUGUAGAGAAGAGAUGAAAAUCUGGGUAGCACAGGAGUAGAUAUGAAGGGAGAGGAAAAGCAAAGUGGUAUACCUGUCAAGACAGAAUUGAGAGGACUCAAUAGCUAAUCAGAUGGAUAGGAAAUAUGAAAGAACAAGGAGGAAAGGACUCAGUGAUCCAGCUGCCAGAAGGAAAAGCUGUUGGGACAAGAAUGGUGGUAACCUGAAUAACACUGGUCUAGGGUAAUAUUGCCUUGUGGAGUCCUUCUCCUUAAAACAGGCCUGGUAUGUGGAAAAGCAGACUGGGCCUCUGAGCCACAAAUAGGAUAUCGUGGGGCAAAAAAUGUAAGGAAGGCACAAAGGAAAUUGAUCCACCAUUUGGAGGAGAUGAGAUGCUGUAGGAAUGUGAAGGGUAAGUGGUACCCACUCAGAAAGGGUCUGUCAGGAGCCAAGAUCCUCCUUUUUCUUUACACAGUCCUCUUUGGACAUGCAACCAUGUGAGGUGAACCUGGGAAUGAAUGUUGAGCAAUGUGAGCUCAACAACUACUUCUUUUUGUCCCCAAUUACCAGGCUAGAAAUUCCCAAGUUUCAAAUGCAGAGCCUUCCUCUUCUUUAAAAAUGAACAAACAAGCCUCAGAACUGUCAUAGAAUAGUGUGGGCAUCUUCUGGUGCACAACUUUUUACAUCAGAAUACAGCCUGCCCUGGCAUCUAACUCAUACUGGGUAGGGAAUUCAUCUUUUCUGUGCCUCAAGGCAAAAAGUUGUAUUAUUACUAAAAAUAGUUAACACUUACUAAAUCCACCACUUGUCUGUCAGUUUGUCGUACUGUGGUGGCUUGCACAUUGCUCUGAUGCUGGCAGCUAUGCCACCAGUAUUUCAAAUGCCAGUAGGGUCACCCAUGGUGGACAGGUUUCAGUGGAGCUUCCGGACUAAGAUAGACUAGGAAGAAGGAAUUGGCAGUCUAUUCUGAAAAACUGGCCAGUGAAAACGUUAUGAACAGCAGCAGAACAUUGUCUGAUAAAGUGCCAGAAGAUGAGACCCUCAGGUUGGAAGGCACUCAAAAGAGGAUUGGGGAAGAGCAGCCUCCUCAAAAUCAAUUUGACCUUAAUGAUGUGAAUGGAGUCAAGCUUUUGGGAGGUUCAUCUGAUGAUGUAGAAUGACUCAAAAUGAGAAGAAACAGCUGUAAUCAACCAUUAAUAACCAGAUCAUGGAAUGUGCAAAGUAUGAAUCUAGGAAAAUUGAAGUUGUCAAAAAUGAAAUGGAGCACAUAAACUUUGACACCCUAAGCAUUAGUGAGCUGAAAUGAACUGGUAUUGGCCAUUCUGAAUCAGACAGUCACAUGAUCUACUAUGCUGGGAAUGACAAAUUGAAGAGGAAAGGCAUAACAUUCAUUGUUAAAAAGAACAUUUCAAGAUAUAUCUCAAAGUACCAAGCUGUCAGUGACAGGCUGAUAUCCAUAUGUCUACAAGGAAGAUCAAUUAAUAUGAAUUUUAUUCAAAUUUAUGCACCAAAUACCAAAACCAAAAAUGAAGAAUUGAAGAUUUUUACCAGCUUCUGCAGUCUGAAAUUGAGCAAACAUGCAAUCAAGAUGCAUUGAUAAUUACUGGUGAUUGGAAUGCAAAAGUUGGAAACAAAGAAGGAUUGGUAGUUGGAAAAUAUGGACUUGGUGAUAGAAAUGAUGCCAGAGAUCACAUGAUAGGAUUUUGCAAGACCAAUGAGUUCUUCACUGCAAAGACCUAUUAUCAAUGACAUAAAUGGAGACUAUACACAAGGACUUCACCAGAUGGAAUACAAAGGAAUCAAAUCAAGUAUAUCUGAGGAAAGAGACAAUGGAGAAGCUCAAUAUCAUCAGUCAGAACAAGGCCGGGGUCGACUGUGGAACAGAGCAUCAAAUUUUCCUAUGCGAGUUCAAGUUGAAGCUGAAGAAAAUUAGAACAAAUCCAAGAGAGCCAAAAUAUCAUCCUAAGUAUAUUUCACAGGAAUUUAGAGACCAUCUUAAAAAUAGCUUUGAUGCAUUGAACACUAAUGACCGAAGACCAGACAAGUUGUGGGAUAAUAUCAAGGAUAUCAUACAUGAAAAAAGGAAGAGGUCAUUAAAAAGACAGGAAAGAAAAAAAAAAAAAGACCAAAAUGGAUGUCAGAAGAGACUCUGAAACUUGCUUUUGAACGUAAAGCACCUAAAGUGAAUGGAAGAAAUGAUGAAAUAAAAGAAUAGAAUAUUUCAAAGGUUGACCUGAGAAAGCAAAGUAUUACAAUGAAAUGUGCAAAGACCUGGAGUUAGAGAACUAAAAGGGAAGAACAUGCUUGGAAUUUCUCAAAGUGAAAGAAGUGAAGAAAAUAUUUAAGCCUUGAGUUGCAAUAUUGAAGAAUUGCAGGGAAAAUAUUGAAUGAUGCAGGAAGCAUCAAAAAAAGAUGGAAGGAAUACACAGAGCCACUGUACCAAAAAAAAUUGGUCGAUGUGCAACCAUUUCAGGAGGAAGAAUAUGAUCAAGAACAGAAGGUACAGGAGAAAGAAGUCCAAGCUGCACUGAAGGCAUUGGCGAAAAACAAGGCUCUGGGAAUUGAUGGAACACCAACUGAGAUGUUUCAACAAAGAGAUACAGCAAUGGAGGUGCUCAGUCAUCUAUACCAAGAAAUUUGGAAGACAAAUACCCGGCCACCCGACUGGAAGACAUCCAUCUUUGUACCCAUUCCAAAGAAAGGUGAUCCAACAGAAUGCAGAAAUUAUUGAACAAUAUCAUUAAGAUGUGGUGUUUCAGUGCCCUGUGAAAUGUUUAUAUUUAAAUAUAUUCAUGAGCACUACUAAGAAAAGAAUGAAAAAUAAUGGUAUGGAGAGAUUGCUGACCAAACACUAGAGUAUGCUACACAGUCUUUGAAAAUAUACAGAAUUGGUUUAGAGAUAGAAACAGACAAGUGCCACAAGUUGAGAGAAAUGAUGAUAUAUCAAACCAUUAGGAAAACAUUAAAAAUAAUGCCAGCAUAACUGAUUGUCCACCUGGAAGAAAAUAAAAAUUGACUUCAUACUUAGGCUGUAAUCAAAAAAUUAUCACUGGAUUAAAGUCUUAACAUGUAAUAAGUAAGACUUUAAGAAAAUGUGGAGUAGCUCAUUGGGCCAAAUUUUCUGAAGAUAGCAUAUACAAGCACUGGACCAACAAUCUGAAGACUUUGAAGGGUGAACGAAAGCAGACAGAAACUGCAAAGGAGUCAACCCUAAAUUAAGGGAGCAGCACUGGCUGUGUUUCCCACUGUUACAGCUUUUUGCUAAUGAUCGGCCCUAGUCAAUGUCCAUCAGUCAACAGUAACCUGGAUGGAAACUUGCAGUCUUACAGGUUGAAGAGUCAGAGGAUAGCAUUUUGGUCACCACAGACACUGGAGGACAGGGAAUCCCAGAAAGGAAGAAUCCAAGAAGGAUAGCCCCAAUUCUGUGUAUUUACUUAGCCAACUGAACUACUUAAAAGCUAUUUAGCCAAAUUAACUCUCAAAGAAAUCAACUCGCUUCAGAGCAGCAUAAUUCAAUGUCUCCACAAUGUCUCAUUUACAAUGUCCAGGGUACGAUCCAAAAUUAUUCACAUGAAGAAAGGGAAAAUGUAAGCAACUCUCAGCAUAAAAAUAAAGCAAUGGAGAUCAUCCCUGAGAUGAUCCAGAUGUAUGUACUAGCAGGCUAGGAUUUUGAUUCAGUUAUUAUGACUAUGAUCGAUGACUAAAGGAAAAUAUUUUUAAAUGAAUAAAUAGAUAAGUAAUCUCAUCAAAGAAAUAAAAACUAUUUUAGAAAGAUCAAAAAUUAAUCAUAGAACUAAAACAUAAAUACAUGAAAUAAAAAAUUCACUGGCUCUCCUUAGGAGCAGAUUGGAAAUGAUGGGAGUAAGAAUUAGUAGGGCUGAAGUACUCCCUGUGUGGUGCAAACAGUUAAAAUGCUCAGCUGUUAACCUAAAGGUUGGCAAUUUGAGCCCACCCAGAGGUGCCUCAGAAGAAAGGCCUGGCAAUCUAUGUCUGAAAAACCAACCUUUGAAAACACUAUGGAGCACAGUUCUACUCUGACACAUAUGGGGUCACCAUGAGUCAGAACCAACUCAACAACAACUGGCGAUGAUAAAAUAGAUAAAUAGAAAUGACCUAAUCUGAAAGGAGAGAGGAAAAAGAUUAAAAACAAGGAACAUAGGUACCUGUGGGAAAAUAAGAGGAGAGACAAACUACGGCAUAAAACUUAUCUGAAAAUGGCUGAAAAUUUCUAAAAUUUGGGAAAUGAAAUUAAUCUACAAAUUCAAGAAGCUCAGUGAACUCCAGCACUGUGUUCCCCAUUGUGUUUAUCAAAUCAGACUGCUGAAAAUGAGCAAUUAAGACACACAAAGACACGAAAUAGAAGCGAACAUUACAAAUGACACAUGACUUCUCAGUGGAAAAAGGAGGGCACAAGACAAUGGAAGAGCAACGUUAAAGUGGUAAAGGAGGAAAAAAAAAAACCCUCUAAAUGAAGAGCUCUAUAUCCAAUGAAAAUAAUUCCUAUUAUGAAUGCAAAAUAUUAAAAAAAAUGAAAACAGGAAAUUUAUCAUCUGCACUACCAGGAAACCUAAGGGAACUUAAUAACCCGUUGCCGUCGAGUUGAGUCCGACUCAUAGUGACCCUAUAGGACAGAGUAGAACUGCCCUGUGGAGUUUCCUAGGAGCAGCCUGUGGAUUCCAACUGCCAACCUUUUGGUUAGCAGCCAAGUCCUUAACCACUGUGGCACCAGGGCUCCAAGGAACCUAUUAGGAAUGAGAAAACUGUAUUUCAGUUUAUUUAUGAUCUCCUUUCCUGCUUCAACUACCCUGUCAUUUUAGAGUUCCACAGGUGGAAAACCAGGACCAAGGGUGUUAAAGACGCCUUGCCAUUAGACGUGGUGAGUGUCCUAAACUAAUCAGAGUAAAUUUGAAUCUCUGCAUCCAACCCGUAUAGCAAACUUGUGCCAAUUAGAACAAGGUUCUCUCUCUGGCUAGUCAUCAUCCCGAACACCUACAACUGGAAGAAUGACAGUUCAUGCACUAGGAUUUAGUGAUUUUCUCUUUUUACUCACAGUUACUUUGCAAUUUUGGCAUUCUCUCAAGUAUUACUGAGAGCCAUGUUUUUGUGUAGAAUUUACUUUUCCUUUCUUGUUUUUUCUUAUGGUUUGGGAAGGAAAUCUUUGGAGAAAAGUAGCUAUACUGCCAACAUUAUCCUUAGUAAUCUGGAAGUCCACUGAAGAUUUUCAGGUGCAUUGGCCCGUAUGUCCCUACCUCCAUUUCAGAGUCUAAAACCAACGAGUUGCUGUUGAGUUGAUUCUGACUCCUAGCAACCCUAUGUGUUGCAGAGUAAAAGUGUGCUCCAUAGGGCUUUCGUGUCUGUGACUUUUGGAAGCAGAUCACCAGGCCUUUCUCUGAGAUGCCUCUUGAUGUUCUCAACCCACCAACCUUUUGAUUAGUAGCCUAAUGCUUAACAAUUUAUGACACCCAAGGACUCCUCUCAGGGUCCCACUACUUACUGAUCAGGGUGCUAUCCUUGGCACAGCAGGUCCGUUUAAGUUGAGAAUGAAUUCAACAUCCUCUGUAGCUCUGCUCCUCUUAUAAUUUUGUCCUGGGCUCAGUUCUCAGGAUUUUCUGCUCUCUAGUUCCCGGAGACAAGAAUCUACUAUGCUGCCAAGAAGUCCUCUAGCUUUCAUGCUUUGCCUUUAAGUGGUGAUUAAUCACUCUCAGCUUUUCAUUGGCUUUCUCCAAAGGAUUGAUACCCCAGCUACAUACAUUCAAUUUCAUUAAAAAAUAAAUAAAUAAAAGUUGAACAACCAAAGACUUGGCCACUCCUGCAGAGGGCUGUAGAGCUAGAAUGGACUUUUAGAGUUGUUUCCAAUUGAGGAGAUGGAACUGAGCCUGUACAACCCAAUUCAGCCAGUCAUUGGAUUCAGUUGCCCACUAGAAGGAAGUGUGACAUUAAUCAAUACAGCUGUCUUCAACAGAGAUAAACUUCCAGAGAGUGACUUGGCUGAGACUUCUGGCCUCCAACACCCCAGCAGUAACAAAUGGGGAGGUCUCCACUCCUUCCUUAAGGAAACACCAGUAAUAUCUUACUUAUUAAAAAAAAGAAUUAUUUUACUAUCUCUGUUUGUUUAAUUUUAAAAGCAAAAACCACUCGCUAGAAAAACACGUAGAAUCCAAAAGUGUGUUUCCGCAGAUCGAAUUUUCUGUGUCCACCAGAAAGAGUUCUGGUGGCACCUGCUCUGGGACCAAGUGGACUAGUUCAUGUGUGAGACCCCUCCAAAGCCUGAAACUCUGUUUCCUUGACUUAUCAGGGUGCCUCCAGCCAGCAGGUUUCAUUAGGUCAAGCUGCCCUGAGGGUUCCUCAGCUCCUUGGUGCAAAGCCUUGAGGCUCUCUUGGUGAAACCUGUCCUUACUCCCUUGCCUGCCGUGUAGCCAUGCAUUCCCACCAACACAACCUUAGCCAUCACACUGAAGGUCCUAGAGGUUCCAUAGAGGGAAUGGCAGAGGGGGGCUGAGUGAGGGGCAACUGAGUGGGUGGUUCUCUUGGAGACCAUUACCAGAUUAUUUGAACCUAAGGUUCUGUGGGUGCAAAAAGAAUCCACAUUUUAGAAUAAUGUUGAGAACCUCUGGAUUGGCUUCUGUGAGGGUAUCCUACUGAUACUUCACAUGACUGAGUGGACCGGACUAGGGAAAGGGCAUUAGGACUCAGGGAGGAAAAUGAAAAUAGCAGCAGUCUUAUCCCAGGGGCUUCCUACCCCCUCGCAAUACAACUUCCAUCCCAGGAGGACAGCAGCCCUGGGGACACACUAGGCACUCAGAGAACAUUUUUUUGAUAAAGAACAGAUAAUUAAAUAUGGACUUGUUUUCCCAGAGCUACUUCCUUCCUCCCCAGAUGGCCCAGCUUGAGAGAAAGUGCCACAUGGAAGUCUAAGCAGACUCUGCCCCACGUGCCUCCCAGCUCUGGAAACCUGCCUAAUCACACCUUUCUGCUGUCCCUUCUCUCAGUCCUUGGUGUCCCCAGGUCCAGUUCUCGGGAACUGGUUCUGAGGACUGACUCAUUCCACUUCCCUAGAAUACAAGAAAAAGUCAAGUUUCCUAAACAUAUCAAGAUAUGUCCCAUCUGCUGUGUGCAACUCGGCCAUAAACUGCAUACUCAAGCCUGUGAAGUCAAGAAUUCUUCUCGCCUUCUGGAUUCCUGCCUACCCUUACUCUCCAGCCUUGCUUCCUAAAUGUAUAUGUACCCCUAUUCUGUUUGAAAAAGAAAAAUUAUCCUCCUCUCCUUCUUUGCCCAAGUGUCCUACUCCUCACCACCAAAAAGUUUUCCCUCCCGUCUGUGAUGGGAGCACGAGUUCUUACAUCAUCCUGCAUCCUCCCCUACCCUGUUGCUCAUGGUGCACAUGUUUUCACUGUCACGGAUUGAAUUGUGUCUUCCCAAAAUCUGUGUCCACUUGGUUAGGCCAUGAUUCCCAGUAUUGUGUGGUUGCCUUCCAUUUUGUGAUUGUAAUUUUACGUUAAAGAGGAUUAGGGUGGAAUUGUAACACCCUUACUAAGGUCACAUCCUUGAUCCAAUUUAAAGGGAAUUUCCCUGGGGUGUGGCCUGCACCACCUUUUAUCUUACAAGAGAAAAAGAAAGGGAAGCAAGCAGAGACUUGGGAACCUCACAGCACCAAGAAAGCAGGGCCAGGAGCAGACUGCAUCCUUUGGACCUGGGGUUCUUGCGCAGAGAAGCUCCCUGUCAGAGGGAAGAUUGAGAAGGACCUUCCUCCAGAGCCAACAGAGAGAGAAAGCCUUCCCCUGGAGCUGAUGCCCUGAAUUUGGACUGCUUGCAUACUAGACUGUGAGAAAAUAAAUUUCUCGUUGUUAAAGCCACCCACUUGUGGUAUUUCUUUACAGCAGCACUAGAUGACUAAGACACUGUCCCAAAGUUUUUAUACCCCAUAUUCAAUUCUAUCUUCAAAAUGCUUAUAUGCAGAGAUGGAUUUAUAAAAGUUUAACAACUGACCAAAAAAAGAAAACCCUCAUUUGUAGUAUUUGCCAGUUUCUUUGGUGUAAAUAUUCCCACCAUGGCCAAUUUCAACCUAUUAACAGAUUAGCAAUCAGAUUGAAAAAUUCCUGAAAAUUUGACAGUCGGUUUUCAUGAGCCAGUACAAGGCCACUCCAGCACACCAGUGAGUUAUGUCCAUCAUUGGUAAACCUCACCUCCACCACUAUUUCCUCACCCCAGCCACCAACACCUCUUUCUGGAUCUUUGCUACCCUCUAACUGGCUUCUGUUUCAGUCUUUGCUCCUGAAGAAGCCAUAAUGAUUCUUUGGGAACGUGAGUCAAACUAUGUCAUUCUUCUCUGACGUAUCUGCCUGGGUCACUCCGUCCUUUCUUUCAAGUCUCUGCUAAAAUGUUACUUUAUUAAAGGCACCUUCUGCAAACCACUCUACAUAAAAUAUUAAUCCUCCCACCACCCGGCAUUUCAAGUCCUCUUAAACUGAUUAAUCUUUUGUCAUAGCACUAUUACCAGCUGACAAACUAAAUAAGAGCAGUCUUCAGUUUUCA